RNAcentral lists this long non-coding RNA (47399 nucleotides) under Triticum aestivum (bread wheat). RNAcentral's name for it is "long non-coding RNA (TAES_LNC012499)". The stretch from base 24701 to 24835 matches the Rfam family "MIR1120/MIR1122 microRNA precursor family". The record is from RNAcentral. Lineage: Eukaryota; Viridiplantae; Streptophyta; Magnoliopsida; Poales; Poaceae.
UUUUUUUUUUGUGAUCUAUCAGACUGAUGCCUUGAAAUAGUAAGAAUGGUGUGCCAAUCAAACUUGAGCUAUAUUGUUCUCCUUCAUUGACUAUGGUCUCAUAUGUACAAAGGAAGAGUUGUGCUUUUUCGAUGUCAAUGGACUAGGUCGAAAAGGAAUUGACAGUUUUCUUGAAUUGUAGUUGGUGUAAUUGUCUUAAUGGCAAGUUAUAUAGACAAAAUUUUCUUGCUUGGAAAAUGAGGUGCUUGAUGUACGACACAAGCAUAUUAGGCAGAAAAUCGUAAUUAUGUUACUUAAGUGGCACACAAUUCCCCUUGCUAAUGGGAGACUGCUGAUCUGGUAUAAACUAUCUAUUUUGGAUAUCAAGGGGGCAGAUGUCAAUGUCACAUUUGAUCUUGCAUCUUUUCUCCCUGUUUUCUAUGAUAUUUCCUGUUAAGCAUGAACUAUUGGUCAUUAACAAUGAUUUAGCUGCAAUGAAUGGUGUUCCACAAAAUUUAUUUAUACAUUUUCGGUAAUCGCAGCUCUCACCAAUACAAAUCUGUAUUGUGACUGAAACAUUUCUUAAUAGGAACUUGGUGAUAUGUUUGCAGACAUUGGUGAAAUUGUUCGUGCAAAGUUUGAUUUCGACGCUGUGGGACACUUAUGUUUGCAGACACUGGUGAAAUUGUUGGUGAAAUUGUUCGUGCAAGCGCUGUGGGACACUACACACAGGGCUGAGGUGCUGAGCUUGACCGCGAAUACCGAUCUGAGACACGCUGCGUCUUUCGCUUCUACUGACGGACAAGAUCCAAGGCACAAGAGUGACAAUGUUUCGAGGACCUGAUUGAUGACCAGCAACCUUUCCGUAUCUGUGUGUAACAAAGUCCAUGUUGGCAUUACAUCAAUAGUUGUGCUUUUGUAUUUCUUGUAAGGGCAUCUACAAUACAUACAUACUACAUUCAUUUACCCCAAUGACUGUUGAUUUUGAAAACCAUUCUAGGGUUGGAAUAUUUUGCCUUUUUUAUUUGAAUUUAUAAGAUCUUGGACCGUCGAUUCGUGAUCAGAUUGCUAGGAGUAUUCUACUAACAACCUUGGCUGGCACAAAGAGUAUAAUGCAGGAGUACAUAUCAGUGAGGAAAACCAGCUUUGGUGCAGAGCCACAAACAUGGAAGGGGAUUCUCAUUUCUCUUCAUCUAGUUUAAGUUGCCUUUGGAACAAUUAGAUCAGGAAAACCACGCCUUGCGCUACAAACCAGCUCAAGAGAGGAUAGCCAUCAGGUCAGAUACCCUCAACACGAUGUAGUUUGUGCCAUCGGCACCCUUGAACUCGGCGCCAGCAUACUUGGAGUACAGAACGGAACUGCCUGUGGAUACCGGCAACGGGAUACUCUUGCCUUCCUCGUCCAGAUGGCCCGGGCCGACAGCGACCACCUGUCUCCGACAAAUGAACAUGGCAUUAGCUCAAAAGUAAGAUUGAUUCGGACUAGAUAGAUGCCAAGGUACAGUUGCAAUAUGAUCCGUGCAGCUCAGAAACAUAGGCAUGAUAGACAUCAAAUUGUCCAACAGAACUAGUAAAUGACUGACCGUUCCAACAGAUGGCUUCUCCUGGACACUGUUGGUCAGCAGCAGGCCCCCGGCAGUUUUAUCUUCAGCUACAGCUACCUGUUAUACAGGUACAAAAGCAUGAAAUGUAUAUUAUAGCAAGACCUGAGGGUAGUAACCUAAGACAGAAACAUACACUAAACUGACACCAGCGCACGGUCCAAGACAUAUGUUGAUGUAACCAGAUGUACACAAUAAAUGUAUUCCCUCCGUCCGGAAAUACUUGUCGGAGAAAUGCAUAAAAAUGAAUGUAUCUAGAACUAAAAUACAUCUAGAUACAUCCAUUCCUCCGACAAGUAUUUCCAGACGGAGGGAGUAUGUGAAAAUAUCUACCUUGAUAAGAACACGGUCGCUAAGAGGCUUCAUGUCUUUCACAUCCUCUGUCUCCAGAAUACCUAUGAUAUCGUCCUCUUUUAGGAUCAGAUGGUUGGAAUCAUUCAACUCCACCUCCAUUCCAGCAUACUUCAAAUAUACAACCUGAGCCCCAACCUACAUAACAGGUGAAACAUGUUACAACUGCCUUUACUCACCAACCACUGGUACAAACUUGUUGUAUUGACAACUAUCACAGCAGAAGACAUGUAGUAAAUGGAUGAAACCAGACACAGAACUGGCAUAACACGCGUAAAAUCCUAGAAUGCAAAAAGGUAAGGCAAGUUUCAUCAUGUUAGCAUUUUAGCAUGCUUCUGACUGGAUUUUUUAUAAGCCAAAAUCCUACUCAUAAGACUGGAGCAUACUGACUGUAUUACAAACUAAUUAUCACAGCAAAACAUAUAAAAGGACCAAACCACAUACAACAAAACUGACACAACAUGUGCAAAAUCCUAGAAUCCAAACAGGUAACACGUGUGUGUUGCAAGCUUCAUCAUAUCAGCAUUUUAGCAUGCUUCUGACUGGAUUUGUCAUAACCAAGAUUCUACUCAUAAGACUGUAACAAACUGACUGCACAAGCCAUACCUUAAUGCCGACUUCUACUUUGCUAUCCCCAAUGGUUCUUCCCUCUCCAACAGCAACCACCUCACCACUCUGAGGUUUAGACUGCGCAGUUGAAGGGAGCAGAAUCCCACCGGUCGUCUUCUGCUCGGCAGUCUUGGUCUUCAGAAGCACUCUGUCAGCCAAGGGCUUGACCGUCGUGUACUGCAAGAGAGUAACAUGAGAUAGUUUCAGACCCGGAAGCAUACUCGCCGCAUGAUAAUUAGAGCUAGAGGCUCGACUAAAACGCUAAGUACAAGCCACAAAGAAACAUAACUGCUUCCUGGACUCUUUUUCGGUAUAUUGAUAUCGGUGGUAUCCAAUUCCAACCUUAUAGUCAAUUUGAUGACACAACUGAUGAUUGUUCAUAAAACAGUUCUCUGACCGUUAAUCCUACUAGAACUGAAAUCAAGCGCGUUCGCGUUGAAACCUCCUCAUUGACACGCCCCAGCAUCGGUCCUUUCAAAUUCAAGCAAAGCAAGGUACACUUUCACUGAUUUACUCGCAUCAUGAACCACAGAUAACAUAUUCCGGCAACCUCAUAACUCGAUUUGCCCCCUCUUCUGCAGCCCCACCUUACCAAUUGCUAGAAUACACAUGUAACAGGGCGCACGAGAACCACCACUACCCGACGCGAGAAACAAGCAGUGAAACCAUGGCGCGUUGCACGGGGAGCACGCACCAUGGGGGCGACGACGGUGGCGGCCCUGGGGACGAGCCCGCGGAGCGCCCCCCGCCGGGCCGGGCGUACCCCGACCGCCGCCGGCGCGUUGGCCGCUACCUUCCCGGAGAACCCCGCCGCGCCAACGGCCGCGGCACCGCAGAGCUGCACCGACGCCAUUGCCCGAGGAUUUCGCUCGUAAUCCGAAGAUAAACCCUAGCCUAGCCUACAAGGAAGAUGAGCAGAGCAGAGCAGCGGAGAAGCAAAUGGGAGGGGAGCGCUUUAUCCAUCCCCGGAACUUCUGAUGGGCCGCAGUGCAUCUUUGGGCCCGAUGUGUCCAGAUUACGUGGGCUCCAACGGGCCUGCUAUGCCUGGGCUUAAAGGUCCAGGUUGUCAGCUCAGCCCGUAACUUGGAUGUCAAACGGGCCUGGCCGCGUCUUCCUCCGCGGCUCCGAUACCCAUUCCCGAGCGGCGGAAGAAAAAAAAACAGAGCAGCGGCGGCGAUCGCCACCGCCGACCGAGGGAGGGAAGCCAUGGGCGCCGCCGUAGCGGGGUGGACGGUGGCGGCGGUGCUGCUGCAGGUCGCGGGCCUCUCCCUCUUCCUCUACGGCUUCUUCCCCGUCAAGCCCACGCUCCCGGGCUUCAGGUCCGCGCCUCGGCCUCUCCUCAGCCCCGCUUUUCUCUGAGCCAGCAGGCGGUGUUUGUUUACUUGGGCUGACGCGCGUCUGGUGUGUGGUUUGUCACCCUGCAGUGGCGCGGAGAGCUACCGGGCGCCGUCGUGCGGCCCCGUCGACGGCGGGGAGGAGCCGGCGCUUCCUCCGGAUCAGCUCAGAUCGCUGUACAGGGUACGGCACUGCUUCCGUUUCGAUUGCUCGCUCUGCAGUUUAGUAGAUCCGCCUGGUAGUGUUUCAGCCCAGUGGCGGAGCUUGCACCGACAACAAGGAGGGGCCAACAUCAGAAGACGCACCAAUUUAGUAAUUUAGGAUGAUGGUCUUCAGCUCUAAUCACUUAGAUACUCUAAAUGUCAGUACUAGUUUUACACAUUUGUGAAAAUGUNNNNNNNNNNNNNNNNNNNNNNNNNNNNNNNNNNNNNNNNNNNNNNNNNNNNNNNNNNNNNNNNNNNNNNNNNNNNNNNNNNNNNNNNNNNNNNNNNNNNNNNNNNNNNNNNNNNNNNNNNNNNNNNNNNNNNNNNNNNNNNNNNNNNNNNNNNNNNNNNNNNNNNNNNNNNNNNNNNNNNNNNNNNNNNNNNNNNNNNNNNNNNNNNNNNNNNNNNNNNNNNNNNNNNNNNNNNNNNNNNNNNGGGCGUUGCCCCCCCUCGGCCCCAAUGAAGCCUUGCUAUGCUCUGAUGUUCGUCCAACAAAUCCUAAUUUUGUCAAGGGAUCAUGUCCCAACCUAUGAUUGGAUUGAGAACACAAUGACACACACAAAGUACAAUAGAAAUUGGGGUUGGGUAAUACAAGAUCAGAGUUUAAGACAGGAUCAGCAAAGUAUUUUGGUGCGGAACGAGAUGAAGUGGAGGAAGGAGAAGGCUGCUGCCUAAUUCAUUUUCUGGUCGAUGCCCUUCCAUCUGCUCCUGCCUAAUGUAGGAUGAUUGUCUUCAAUCACUUCAAUACUCUAAACAUCACUGCUGGUUUUACACAGUUGUACGAAUGUAGGGAGGGGAUGACCUACCUUGGCCCCAAUGAUGCUUUGCCGCUAGUUGCAGAAUGUUCUUAUGUCUAUCCCUCAAAUCCUAAAUUACUGCUGUUUUGCAUUAUAGAAUGUUAUAGUGAGCCCAAGAUUUUAAAGUAGCGCAAAUAUUUUCAAGGUUGCCAGAUUUUAUGCUGAUACAGAACUUCAUAUAUACUCAAAUUUAGUACAAGUUAUUAUGCAUUUUAUACUGACGAGCUUUCCUAGAGCUUCUUAUGUACUCGGUUUAAGUUAUGCAUUUACGGUUUUUAAUGCUUGCGAUUUUGUGUAUGGUUCAUUCCAGGAACUUUCGGAGGUCCCCCAUGUGUAUGAUCGCUUGGUAUUGAUGGUAUGCCCUCAAUUUAUAUGCCUAUUACUGGCAGCAUAAUCCAAUACAUUUGUAUGGAUAUUUAUCUUACCUUUUAAUGUUUGGCCUUUUGAGUCUAUGAAUGUCAAUUUAGGUGAUAGAUGGGCUACCUGCUGAAUUUGUACUGGGGAGAGGUGGAAAACCUCCAGCCAAAGAAAUGAUGGAGUCAAUGCCAUACACACAGUCUCUGUUAGCUGAUUGCAGAGCAGUGGGUUAUCAUGCAAAGGCUGCACCUCCAACCGUUACAAUGCCCCGGCUAAAAGUAUGACUUAUUUUACAUAGGGAUAUUUAUUCGUACAAAUGCCAAAUGCUGAGCAAUCUUUAGCGUAUAUUUUUUUCAGGCAAUGGUGUCAGGGGCAAUUGGAGGUUUUCUAGAUGUAGCACUUAACUUCAAUACUCAAGCUUUCUUGGAUGACAAUCUUCUUGGUUAGAACCUCUUGCUACCUUUUCUCCCUAUUUCUAUGUCUUGCUAGCCCAACUUUGUAUGCCAAAUUAGUAAUAAGGAAUUUCUUAUAAGUGCACUUUUCUAUUUAUCACAGAUCAGCUUCAUACGGUUGGUUAUAAGUUAGUGAUGUUGGGAGAUGAAACAUGGAUCAAAUUGUUCCCAACACUGUUCUACAGACAAGAUGGAGUGAGCAGUUUUUAUGUAAGUCCUGUCUCAUGCUUCACCUGCUUUUCUAACGACGAGAUUUGAUGAUAAUUGAUUAUUGGAGGAUAACAUCAUAAACUUUAAAUGCUGAUAAGUUUGGUUUCCAUCGUCUGAAGCACCGAUUUAACAAUUACUUUACAACAAAUAAUCAAUUCAUCCCUGUGUUUUUUUUCAGAACAAAUAAAAAUGUAUACUGAAGUUAGUAACUGAUAGACCAAAUUUCGACAUUUGAAAUUUUAGGUGCUUGGCAUCUCCUUGCCAUCUGCCGGGCUACUUUUCUCUGCUGAACAUAUGACACUCUUUAAGGAGUGUAUCGACUACUUUCCCUUUGCGUACAGAUAUUCGGAUAUUAGGCACUUGAUCAUUUGAUUUGCUGCUUAAUUUGUGCUCAUAACAGUGGUUUAUUUGUUCUUUAUAGCGUGGUCCGUUAUGUGUUGAACUUACUUUAAUGAUUUGUAACUAUAUUGCAGGUUAAAGAUACGGUUGAGGUUGAUUUCAAUGUUUCCCGCCAUCUGGAAUCUGAACUUGCUGCAAAAGACUGGGAUGCACUGGUACAGUUUUACUUUUUAGUGAUGCUUCUGUGCAUGUUCGCUUAUUUUAUCAUUUGUGACAGAUAAUGCUAUCUCAUUCUCUGGAUUCCAACCAUGUAGUCCAAGUGCCCAGCUAAUGUUUGUUAUGGUCGAUGUCUAACUUUCUUUACUUGCAUUAGUUUUUUUGUUUGUCUGAUAAGGUUAACCACAAUCCUUUAGGCUGAUACUGAGAAAUUCCUUUAUUUGACAUUUUCAGAUUCUUCACUAUUUAGGUUUAGAUCAUGUUGGCCAUAUAGGCGGCCGCCAGAGGUAUAUUCCAUAUCAGUUUCAUGUAUUUUUGUUUGAGCAAUGUGUAGUUUGAAUUCAAGUUUGAAAUGACAGCAAUUUGAUGACCCCAAAGCUGAAGGAGAUGGAUGAUGUUAUUAGAAGGAUCCAUGCUGCAGUUAAGAGCAUUCAGGAUAAUUCACACAGAACACUUUUGGUAUGCGAUCCUUUCAUUUCUACAAAAUACAAAUCUGCUUUUCUAGUAGCAUAGAUUUAAUGUUGCGUAGAAGUUUACUCCAACAUCUGCAGGAGAUUGCUUCGAGAAUCCAUUAGUAAUAGUGAUUACUCAGAUGUGUGUCUUAACAAAUUCUGCUUUCUGAUGCCUUUCUCACUUAUGAUAUUUAAUGACUUCUAUGCGUGCAGGGGUUGCAACUCAAUUUUGCAUCUUGCAUCCAAAUCUUCCAAGUUGCAUUAAAAAUGCUUGGACAUACAAUAUUUUCCCGUUACUUUAAGUUCAGUAGUGUGUACACUUCGCUGGAGAACUGAAUAUUUGAUAAUUAAACAUAAAUAGAACUGUAGGUAAGGAUCUAUAGGGUCUAUGUACAACCAAAAAUUAGUGGGUGUGAAAACAAGAUAAUCCACCAAAAAACAUGAAUUGCCAAGCUGCCACAUCUGAAAAGAUAAAGGUUCUACACUAUUUCUCAUAAGGAUUUUUGCUCUGUCCCUACAUUUCAGGUUGUGGUCAGUGAUCAUGGAAUGACUGAAGUUGGUAAUCAUGGAGGAUCUUCUUACGAAGAAACUGACUCCCUUGCCCUUUUUAUAGGACACAGUGUUGAGAACUCAUAUUGUUCACCUUAUGAACAGAAAGAAGCACUUCAAGUAUGAUAUAUACCUCUCUCAGCUUUAUCCUUUCGAAGCUCUAGUUCAGUUUGUAGUAUACUUGUGAGUUUUGAUAGGAAUUUUGGCAGUCUGAUUUUUUUCGUAUAAAACUUUCCUUGGCAAUCAAGCUGAAGAAAGCAGUAAUAUCUGUUGGAUAGUGUUUCAAGAUGCCAACACGCAACUCUGACCAGUGACCUUUUUUUUGCCAGGUUGACCUUGCCCCAACUCUAGCUCUUCUCUUUGGAAUACCGAUUCCCAAAAACAAUAUAGGUGUCUUGCUUCCGGAGCUUUUUAAUUCUUUGACAGGUGAAUAUUUGUACCUUCUUUCUCAAAUGUGUUGCGCAUCUGGAAGUAGAAGUAGAUGUUUUAUGCUUGUAGACAAUAUUGAUUUUGAUAGUUUUAAGUUCCUCUUGGAUGUAUAAGUGCAUGCCUUUUCUUAUUGUUACGUUCUCAAUUACAUCAUAAUAUUGUGAUUGUGAACAAAUUACAAUAUUAAGUACUCUCAGCUAUCAGCUCUGAAAUGGUGUGUGCAUCUUGUCUCAGAUGAGCAAAAACUGCGCACCCUAGAACUGAACUCGUGGCAAAUCUUAAGAUUGUUACAAGAACAGAGACCUGCUUUCUGCUCUGAAGAUUGUGUUGAUUCAAAGGAUGACUUUGGAGCUGAUACGCUUCCUGAAUCUAUUGAGGAGAAGUUGUGCCGUUUGCUUUCUAAGGCUUUUGCUUCUCAUCGAUCCUCACUUCUUCAUCGGGAUUCUAAUUUCCUGUGAGUUUAUGGUCCUAAGUUCCUAAAAAUUUAUGAAUAUGAUCACCCACCAACGUUUAAAAGAACUCUGCUGUUCCAGGUCUGUUGAAGCAGCUGGGCUCUUUGGGACUGCUGUGGACUCCUACUCUGGCUUCUUAAGACAUGCGAGUGAGUGGUUGUCUCACAGAGCGACCGAUGUAAUUUUACUACCUUUGCAGUGUUAUAAUUUUAUACCCUACUUUGCAGUUGCCUUUAUUCUGAAUGACUUAUCUCCUUUCACUGUUUAUAUUUGCAGAAACCACUCUAUUUGCUUGUCUCUGCAAUCUCCUUGAUGAUUAUUUCAUGUUUUUCUCUUGCCGGGAUUAUCUCUUGCAUAUUUAAGGGGAAGUCACAAAUUCAAUCUGAACACCAUUCUGAGUUGGAUUUGGAUAAACAUUGGCACCUUGAUGAGGUUUUCAUUCUAAUGGGGAUUUUGCUCUAUGUUGCCAGCCUUGGUUCAAGCUCUUUUGUUGAAGAAGAGCAGUAUAUAUGGCACUUUCUCACUUCUACUCUCUAUUUAAUAUUUCUCAUCAAGACUGUUCAAUCGAUGCUGAAAGGAUCAAACUCAACUGCAGUCCAUAGAUCGGAAACAAAGACAUUUCACAAAAAUAACUCCUCUUAUCUUGCCAGCUAUAAGCUAACCCCAGGACAGCAAGAUGGAUGCAAGUUAUAUACUGUCCUUAUUGUUCUUGUUGCUGGGAGAAUUCUAAGAGCUUGGUAUCAAGGAGGGAUUAACUGGGUUCACUUUCCUGACAUUUCAAAGAUAUUGAAUCAGUCGGACUCUUCUAUUGUGAAGUCUCUGCAGAGCAUCUCAGUUUUUGUGGUUGUGGUAUUGUAUUCAGUCUCACUCAUGUUACUGAGAACAAGAAGAAUGCUUGUUAUAGGGCUAUGGCUGAGCCACCUUUCGUGUGGGCUUUUAGUUAUGCUGCAUAUCUGGAAAAGUCAGGUCAAUACUUCGGUACCGAUCAACCAUAGCACGACAUCAAUAGCUCAGAUAUUCUAUGUCAUCGCAAGUAUUUCAGUAACUUGUGCUUUUCUUUUAUCUCCAUGGAUAUUUCCAACACAUUCUAAAGAAGCAGAACCAAUAUCCUCCUCCGGCUCCAAUCCUGAAAAGGCGCAUGGCCUCAAUCAUUCAGUGUUCUUGACUGGAGUAACAUAUACAAUGUUCUGGUGCCUUCUUCAAUUGCUUCUGCAACAACCCAUAAAUGCAAUCCCUGUUUUGCUUAUUCUCUUGCAAAUAAUCUCGAGUGUGAUUUAUUUUUCUCUGGAGGAAUCAUUGCAUAGGCAAUGGGUACAGGUUAGUUUACUAAAAUAUUCUUUAUAAUCUCUGUUCGACCACCAUGGUAUCUUUUCUCCAGAUUCAUGGAAUCAUGGGAAGUGCUUAUUUUCACUGGCUAACAAUUGGGCAAUGCAUGGUGUAGGUUGUUGCGAUGCAAUUCUUGGGAAUGACCGGCCACUUUGGUCUUGGGAACACCAAUAGCCUCGCCAGCAUCGAUGUUGCUGGAGCUUUCAUUGUAAGUUCAACAUAAAACUCUCUGAAGAAGUGUUUCUUCUCUCAAUUUCUUUCAGAUUUAACCCUCUAAUUUUAACAGGGCAUUUCAAGCUACUCCACGGUCCUUUCUGGGGUGCUGAUGUUCAUCAUUACGUAUGGGUCGCCUCUGCUGCUAUACCUCGGGAUGGUGGUUCAUAUGUCGGUGAAAGAUAGUACUGAUAUCUCCACUCCACAGCAAUGGAGCAGCGUCUUGAACAGAAUGAUCGCACUUCCCUGCUUGCUCCCUCUGCUCAUCAAUUCUAUUGCCCUGACUUCAUACACCAUUGUCCUGCUGCUCAUGAGGAACCACUUGUUUGUCUGGAGCGUAUUCUCGCCAAAGUAAGUGCUCAAUGGAAUCUUUACAAGCAUAAUGUUUAGUUACUUCACAAUUUAACCGCUCAAUGGAAGGGCCGGCGUCAGAAUGUUUUCACUGUUUGUGAAUUGUGAUGGUUAUUGUGGAUACAUGUUUUACCUGCUCCAGCAUAUAAAUCGUUUCCCUAUGCUUACAUCUGGUUUGUUACUGUUAUCUGACGAACUUCAUCCCCCACUGGGAACAGAUACCUCUACGUCUGCGCGGCGACGGUGUGCACAUAUGCUGGAGUGUUGAUCAUAGCCAUGACCGGAGCUUACACCUGCGCCGUGUUCUCGUUCAGGACGAGGAACCAUAGAGACAAAUCCGUAGGUCAGAUUGACGGCUAGGGUUUCCUUAAUUAGCAGGCAUUGUUAGAGAAGGAAAAAUAGUAGUAGUAGCAUCGUCUUGGUCACAGAUUUUUUUCGACAAAUCUUACUUUGUCUCUGAAGAGUGUAAACGACGCGCUUUCCCCUGGUAUAAUCGACACUCUUUUUUAGACCAAUCUUUUGUUUUGUUCCCACAUUUUUAGACCAAUCUUUUUGUUUUGUUCCGACAUUUCUACCGUAUUUAGGCACCCACAGUAUAAUCAGAAAUCCAUAUAUUAUUAUUUCAAUUCACAACCAAAAGAAUGUGUAUACAUACAAAGAGCCAAUGUACACUCUCCUACUACCAAACAAGCACAGAAAACACAUAAUAAUAAACACGUAUUGCAGCAGCAACGUUGAAUUCUUGCCCAGCUCAGCUCAAACCAGCAUGGCUCCAACUGCGAGGAUCACUGCGAACAACUCAGGCACAUGAGCACCGUCUCUCCAGGCAGAGCUGGGCGCCACCUGCGGCCUCGUCUGCCCCUGGCUCUGGCUCGUUGGUGGCACCGCCACGGUGGUUCCCGCCGGCGGCGACUCGGGCGCCACCGGGGCUGCAAAUUUGACAGAAUCAUCAGUGGCAAUCAACAGCGACAUAAGAAGAGAAAGUUGGUGGGGCGAGUUGAGUUUCUUACGCAGCGGGGGCAUGGCGGGAGAGGCCGAGGCCGCGACGGGGCCCGGAGCCGGAGCCGGGAGCUGCGCCGACGCAUCUGCAGUUCAUCGCCAACUCCGAUCGUCAGUGGAAACCUCAUCUCACACGAAACUAUAGCAGUCCCAUGGGGCAGGAUGAACGUACCUUUGCAUUGAAGCGGGACGGCCAUGGAGUUGCAUGCCCUGGGCAGGGUGACGGCGAGCGUCCGGUUGAUCGGGACGCCGCCGAGCGGCACGCUGCCGGUGAGGAGGAGGCACGCGCAGCCCGUGCUGGCGUUCACCAGUGCCGACAGGGACCGGCAGCAGCCCACCGUCGGCGACGAGCUGUUGCCGUUGGUGAUGUAGCUGAGGCACGGCGUGAAGCUGGAGACGAGCGACGCCGUGCACGACGGCGCCGCCGGCGCGGCCUGCCCCGACGCCGGCGCCGGCAAGGCCAGGGCCAGCAGCACGGCCGCGGACGCGGCGAGCGCGAGCAGCUUGGUGGCCAUCGAUCAAUCUCAGUCACGACUCGCGUGUUUUUGGAGGGAAGAUCAAGAGCGUGGAUCGAUGUGGCUGUGGCGGGAUGCAUCGUCUGUUGGCCGCGUGCGAUUAUAUAUACGUGCAGACUGCAGAGGCGUGUCAGGCUGGUGGUGCUGGAUCAGAGGGUAGCUGCACCAGUGUAGCUACCGUAACUAACUGUCAUCUGUUUUCUAAACCGUUUCUUUUCAGGAAAAGUAGUGAGGUGUCCGUCCAUGGUUGAGAUCAUCCGUCCGGUAGGAGGAUUAGGAAGGGCCCGUCACCAACAAAUGCUGUGCUUUGGUCUCGUUUUUUUUUUUUUUUGAGAUGGUGCUUUGGUCUCGUUGACCGUCCAUGCAUGACACCAGAAAUGGGUAUACCAGUUGAAAUAUAUGCCUUAUUUUUGACCAAAAGUAAGGGCAAAGCACAACAAGGAGCGAGGAACUUGCCUUUACGCUCGAACAAAAAAUGACCGGCGAAUGGGUAACAAAAUCAAGUGGGGCCCGCGCGAAAUCGCCCGGAAACCCCACUACAAAAAAUAUGUCAACUUGUGACCUUGACUAUUGGUCACUGAAAGGUCAUGGUUUUUCAUUUGUGACCUUUUUGUGACAAAAAGAGAAGGUCAAAAGCUGAGGGUCGUUAACUGACUAUAGCGACCUUCUUUGUGAGAAGGUCGUGGACAUUUACGACCAAAAUAUUCCUACUGUGACGUUUUGGUCACUAGCAACCUCCCCAGGCCACGUAAGCAUCCAGCGUGGCAAGCUGAUGUGGCACAAGAUUCAGCCCGGUUCAAUUAGGUGUUUUACAUGGGCCGAGCCCAUUAAUUCAACCUAUUUGUGUCUUUUUUGUUUGUCAAUUUUUGGUUGGGUUCAUGGGCCAAGCCCAAUAUUACAGCCUUUUUAUUGUUGGAUUGUGGCCUUUUUGUCUAAACGAAUUUAAUUUUUUUUUCCCAAAGAAGGGUCCACUAGUCAGAUGGGUCCCAGGUCCCAGUUGUCAUCAUCAGUUGGCUCCUUUUCAGGCGCGGUACACAGGAAUACAAUUUUGCACAUAUAUAUUGUUGAGAAAUUUUCAUAAUUUUGCUGUCAAAGCAGCAUGUACAUAGGAAUACAAUUUUGCUAUCAAAGCAACAUUUCAAACAUACAUCUUCAUGACAUCAUACAUAAAAACCAGCAAUAAAAAGAUUACAAUAUGCCAUUUGGCUCAAAUCACAUAACAUAUGACAUCCAGGUUCCAGCAACGAAAAAAGAUAACCACCACAUCAUACCAUCUGCACAUUCAAAGAGAACAAACUAUAUGUCAAAAGAGAACUGAGCAGAAAAUUGUCAAUAAAAGAAAGAAGAUAAUAUACUCUGUAAUUACUACAGAUUUGCUCACUGGAUACACACACACACUUUGCAUAUACAGAUUUGCUCCCCGCAAAAACAAUUCUGAAUAGUUGGCUAUAAUUCUUUUGAACCGCGGUAAUGCAAUUCAUGCUGCUUAAAAAUGUGAAGCGAAAUUGACAACGGGCAUAACAGUAGGAAAAACUCAUAGCAUAGAUGUUCAAGACAACAUAACAAGCUUGAACUGAUGUUUAGCAGCAGCCAAGCUUCAGCCAUACAAAGUGUAUGCAGUACUAAAAGAAGUAGUAAGAACAAAGAACAGAUGACAUGUUUCUCAAAAAAGAAAAAUGAACAGACAACAUGACUGAUUUGGGUUAGAGGCUGCAAUGGGAGCACAUCUUCAACUCCUCUUUUUGAGUAAAAACUGACAAAGAACAACCUAACAGCUGAGCUGAGUGCCAGCAGUAAACGAACACUAGCUAACAGAAUUGUAAACAGACUAUCACCAGCCUUCCAUCAGACCAACACAUGAUGAUUAAGAUUGCACAAUUUGUAACCUAUUCCUGACCCAGAAAAAUAAUGCUUGAAUCCUGGACACAAAAGAUUCAACCAAGCUCUAUUGGCCAACAUGGUGAAAGCCAAUGGAACAAGAAGUACUGCUUGCCAGUUUUUGAUAGAAAGAAGUUUACAUUUCAGCAAUAGGAGCAAGGUGUGUACUGAACAUGAAACAUCAAAAUAUUGCGUCAGAGAGAGGGGGGCUACCAAAUUGAGCUGCUCUUUCAUCCAUGGUGGCGUCCUUGCAUCCAUGUAGCUGCUGCUGCUGCUAACCUUGAAGAUGCAGCUCCUCGUUCUGUUGUUGUACCAAACGAACCUUGCCACGUGGCCGCGUCCUGCAGAUGCCACAUUGAUCCAAUUAGCAAUAGCUAAACUGUCAGUUGAAUGGAGAACACUUUGAUGCACCACUGGCAUGGCAUAAACCAGAGCACUGGUCCGAGUUCAAGCCGAUAAAUCGGAGUGCUACCGAAGGAAGACAUCAAACAGUGAGUUGUGCUACUUGAUCAUUCAGAUUGGCAAGAUCUAUCUUCCGUUUGAGCAUAAUGUUUCAGCAUUUAGAUCAAUAAUUUCAGCAUUCAGAUCAAUAGCGCCGACACAAACACACAAACAUCAUGGUUCAGGGAUUAAGAACUCUGAAAAAACUACACAAGCAUCCUACUACUAGGCUACUAUUAACGGAAUGGCAUGGAUUCGCAAUGGGAUGAACUUCAAAAUUGCAUGGUGAACUAAUCAGAUCACAUUGCGGAUGCAGGGGAGAAUUCGAGGGGAGAAAACCUGAGCAGGGCAGGGAAGGUGCGGACGAGGGGCAUCCCGCCCAUGGUGUCUCUCCCUAGCCUGCGCCGGCUCCAAGGGGCACCCCGCCCAUGGUGUCCCGGUGCUCGAGCGAGGACGACGUCCUGGAUCUGGGAGGGAGAGAACACGAGGUGAGGAAGUGAGGGAGGGUUGUGAGGGGGAGGAGGGGGAGGAGAUUGAGUGGAGGGACGCACCUGAGCCCGCCAUCCGCGACGCCAUGGCUGCCAUGCUCGAUCUGCGGCAUAGUCGGGGGGAGGGCGCGGUCGAUCUGGUCGAUGCGUGCCGGAUCUGUUCUGAGGAAAGGAUGGAGCGGAGGUGACGGGGUCGCGGUGGUGUGCUGGGAGCAGCAGAUCGUCGGGAUCGGCCGAGAAGCACGCCGACGACGCACUUCCUGGUGUCGAGGGCAACGCGGUUGUAGUGGUCGACGAUGCUGAGCAGCACCAGCGGGUGCACCACCACCUUCUCGAACUGGGCCUCGAGGAGAGGAGGUGGUGGCCGUCGAUGGUGGGGAUGGGGGGCGACAGCGACGGCGGCGUCCAUCUCCGCCUGGAUCGCGCGUGUGUUGGUGCGGGGAGGGGAGGGGAGGGGAGUUGGCUCGUGAGAUUUGGUCGCGAGGGGGCGACUCAGNNNNNNNNNNNNNNNNNNNNNNNNNNNNNNNNNNNNNNNNNNNNNNNNNNNNNNNNNNNNNNNNNNNNNNNNNNNNNNNNNNNNNNNNNNNNNNNNNNNNNNNNNNNNNNNNNNNNNNNNNNNNNNNNNNNNNNNNNNNNNNNNNNNNNNNNNNNNNNNNNNNNNNNNNNNNNNNNNNNNNNNNNNNNNNNNNNNNNNNNNNNNNNNNNNNNNNNNNNNNNNNNNNNNNNNNNNNNNNNNNNNNNNNNNNNNNNNNNNNNNNNNNNNNNNNNNNNNNNNNNNNNNNNNNNNNNNNNNNNNNNNNNNNNNNNNNNNNNNNNNNNNNNNNNNCCGGUGCUGGGGGCGAUGAGGAGGUCGUCGGCGGUGGGUAUGGGGGAGGCCGGCGGCGGGGUUGGGAUGGAAGAGAGAGGAAGGUCGGGCAGAGGGGAGAGGGGGAUCUGGGACGAGGUGGCGACGGCGAGGAACUGAGGGAGGAGAGGUGGACGGGUGCGGGAUAGGGUUUGGGCUGCGGAUGGAUGGCUGGAUGGAGAGGUGGAGAGUUGGACGAAUGGAUGGGCGGCCAUGUCAUCGAUCCGUGUGACAACCAAACCAACCAAUAAGAAUAGAGCACAUAUAAUUGUGUUUUUUCUUUUGUUUUUCUUCUACUUUUACACAUGAAAAAAAAUCAAAAAAAUGGUCUCACAUUGUGCACAAGUUUGUAUCUUGAAUGAGAAACAAUGUUGACUACGGAAUUUUUCAUUUUCUUUGCAUGAAAAAUUCAUUUUUCAUUUUCCGAGUGCCCAAAAUGGGUUUUUUUGUGAAGGACCUAUCAAAUAAUUAUUGCAAAAUUGGACCAAAUAAAUUUUAUAAAAUACUAGGCCAUAUAUAAUGCACAAUUGACAAAAUGGUUGGGUGAAAAAAGUUUUGAUCCACCUCUGGUGAAAAAGACAAACUGCAGCUGGAAACGGGUCAAAUUUGAACGGGUCAAAUUUGAACUGCAGCUGCCACAUAGUUUGCUCUUUAUUUUUUCCAAAAAUCAUUUCUAGGUAAAUAAGUAUCUAUUUAAUCAUAGAAACACCAAAAAAAAUUGCAAGAUUCAACCACUAGCUAGGAACGGUCAAGCCAGCCGUUUUGACCGCAUUUUGAAACGGGCAUAAAAAAUUCAAAAAAAAUCAAAAAAUUGGAAAACCUUUGCAUUGUAUCAUUAUAUGUGACCAAGUUUCCAGGAAAAAUAAUAAACUUGCAGUAUGGUAAUUAUUUAAAAAAAGUGUUCUCAGAAAUGAGCUAUCAUGCGUAAAGAUUCAUGACUUUCAAACCAAAUGAUCAAUCUUAUGGCCACAUUCAUGUCAUAGUUUGUUCAAAUGAUCUCAUAUUGUGCACAAGGGUACAUCUUGGAAUUCCAAACAAUGUUGCCUAAGGAAGUUUUCAUUUUCUUUGCACGGAAAAUUCAUUUUUCAUUUUCCGAGUGCCCAAAAGGAGGUUUUUUUGUGAAGGAACUACCAAAUAAUUGUUGCAAAAAUGGACCAAAUAAAUUUUAUAAAAUACUAGGCCAUAUAUAAUGCACAAUUGACAAAAUGGUUGGGUGAAAAAAGUUUUGAUCCACCUCUGGUGAAAAAGACAAAUUGUCGUCGAUUCAGUUAGAAACAGGUCAAAUUUGAACUGCAGCUGCCUCAUAGUUUGCUCUUUAUUUUUUGCAAAAAUCAUUUCUAGGUAAAUAAGUAUCUAUUAAUCAUAGAAACACCAAAAAAUUGCAAGAUUCAACCACUAGCUAGGAACGGUCAAGCCAGCCGUUUUGACCGCAUUUUGAAACGGGCAUAAAAAAUUCAAAAAAAAUCAAAAAAUUGGAAAACCUUCGCAUUGUGUCAUUAUAUGUGACCAAGUUUCCAGGAAAAAUAAUAAACUUGUAACACGGUAAUUAUUUUAAAAAAGUGUUCUCAGAAAUGAGCUAUCAUGCGUGAAGAUUCAUGACUUUCAAGCCAAAUGAUCAAUCUUAUGGCCACAUUCAUGGCAUAGUUUGUUCAAAUGAUCUCAUAUUGUGCACAAGGGUACAUCUUGGAAUUCCAAACAAUGUUGCCUAAGGAAGUUUUCAUUUUCUUUGCACGGAAAAUUCAUUUUUGAUUUUUUGAGUGCCCAAAAGGAGGUUUUUUUGUGAAGGAACUACCAAAUAAUUGUUGCAAAAAUGGACCAAAUAAAUUUUAUAAAAUACUAGGCCAUAUAUAAUGCACAAUUGACAAAAUGGUUGGGUGAAAAAAGUUUUGAUCCACCUCUGGUGAAAAAGACAAACUGUCGUCGAUUCAGUUGGAAACGGGUCAAAUUUGAACUGCAGAUGCCUCAUAGUUUGCUCUUUAUUUUUUCCAAAAAUCAUUUCUAGGUAAAUAAGUAUCUAUUUAAUCAAAAAUACAUGGUUUGAUGGCGAGACAUCGAGGUUUGGACGGUGGCCGAGGGACCCAACUCUAGAGCGCGUAAACUCGCAUGCCCGCCGCAUGGUCACCGCGUGACCGUGGCGUUGCCAUGUGUUCUGGGCGGCCUAGGCAUGUCUAGUGGGUUGGGCACUCCCGAGAUAGGUGCUAGGAAGAAAAUCACAACAUAAGAUUCUCACGAGGAGACCGAUCGAUGCUCAAACAUGAAUAAGCAGCCAAGUGUUUGAUUUGCGGUACGGAAAAUGCACAUGGCUAAUGGGCAUGAGUUUUGGCUGAGGAUGAUCAGUUACUAAGAAGACCGUCUUCACAAAUUUUCAGCUCAAAAGGAGGAGCCUAUGUGGUACUUGCUUUGCAAACUACCACACUGGACAUAAAUACAAAUGUUGAAGCUCGGCUCAAAAUAAUGAAUGGAUUGAGCUGGCAUUUGGUGGAGGAUGGUUAUUUGGGCAUAGAAAAGCACUGUAGAAAAUGGAUACUAUUUGGACAUGCCAAAGUGGUACUUCCUUCACAAACUGUUGUUCUGAACAGAAUAGGAAAAUGAAUAUUUUUGAACUAGGCAAGGAAGGUUUUUUACAUAUUUGACGAAGAUAUGACCCAAAGAAUUUAUGAGAUUUUUUGAGAAUUUUGGGAAUGACAGAAAUAUAGGUUGCUUCACAACCUAGGGCAAAAACUGCCACAUGGACAUGACACAUAGGCAAAACUGAUGAGGUGGCGCCUAGUCAUAGCAACCCACCAUAAUUUACAAGGCUAUGACCAUCUAUAUUGGUCAUUAACAACUAGAAAUAAGGCAGCGGACUAGCACUGUUUGCUUUGUGACUAUUUCGUGUAAGGAAAUUACGACCUUUCUGACCAAAAUGGUCGCAAUGGUUUAGGGUUUGGAGCCCCCCGAACAGCUUUUGACCAAUUGGUCUGAAAUGGUCAUAGAUCUACCAAUUCUUCCAGGGUCACUGACAGAAGGUCACUAGUUGACAUAUUUCUUGUAGUGCCCGGCGGUCCGGUGGACGCCUCCUUCGUCAUCGCGUGGCGCCGCUCUGACUCGCCGCCUGAGGCCAAAUCUGGCUAUUUAACCCGCCCGGCGUCCCCCAACCGUAGCUCAUCCACCUCCUCCCUCUAUGUGCCACCACCCGAGUCCGUCCACCUCCUCUCCCCUGCUCUCAGUCCCACGCUUUCCGGCAUUACCAUGGUCCGGCAGAAGAUCACCACGUACGCUUGUUGGGGAACGUAGUAAUAAUUCAAAAUUUUCCUACGUGUCACCAAGAUCAAUCUAUGGAUACUCUAGCAACAAGAGAGGGAGAGGAUGAGCAUCUUCAUACCUUUGAAGAUCGCUAAGCGGAAGCAUUACAAGAACGCGGUUGAUGGAGUCAUACUCGCGGUGAUUCAAAUCGCGGAAGAUCCGAUCAAGCGCCAAAUGGACGGCACCUCCGCGUUCAACACACGUACAGCCCGGGGACGUCUCCUCCUUCUUGAUCCAGCAAGUGGAGAGGAGAAGUUGAGGGAGAAGUCCAACAGCACGACUAGGGCUUGAAUUCGAGCCGAGUCGAGCCAGCUCGGCUCGACUCGCUAGAGAUUGUUUCGUUAACGAGCUAGCUCGACUCAACUCGUUAUUAUAACGAGCUCAAAUCCAAGAUUGGCUCGACUCGUAUAACUCGCGAGCUGGCUCGUUUAGCUUGUUAAGCUCGUUAAAUAUAUGAACAUAAAACCCUCAUAUAUUAUAAAAUGAUUAUGUAUAUAUUAAACAUAUAUAUCACUAAACAAUAGUAAUUUCCUUGUAACACAUGAGUCUCCUAGGCGGUUGGGCCUUCAACGGCUAAGCCUUGUGUUGUGCGCCUGGGACAUAGGGUGCUGAGUGACUGAUCUUUUUUCGUAUUAGGAGUGGCUGAUCUUUUGUACCGAGCCUAACGAUUUACACGAGUACUCGUGAGAUUGGCUCGUUUAACUUGGUCUAUAAACGAUCUUAAACUAAAGCUUGGCUCAACUAAUUAUUCUUCGAGUUCGAGUCGAUUCGAGCCGAGUCACGAGCUACUCGUUUAGCUCACGAGCUUCGAGCUUUUUUUCCAGCCCUAAGCACGACGGCAUGGUGGUGGUGGAGCUCGUGGUUCUCCAGCAGGGCUUCGCCAAGCACUAUGGAGGAGGAGGUGUAGGAGGAGGGAGGGUUGCGCCAGGGAAGAGGUGCGGCUGCCCUCCCACCCCUCCACUAUAUAUAGGGGCAAGGGGAGAGGGGGAGGCACCCUAGGGUUUCCCCUAGGGGGCGGCGGCCAAGCAGAUUGGAUCUCCCUAGGGAAAAUCCUAGGGAGACUUGCCCCCCAGCCAAGUAGGUGGAGGAUUGCCUCCCAAUCUAGGUGGAGGCGCCCCACCUCCCCAAAUAACGUGGGAAAGGGUGUGGGGGGCGCACCACCCCUUAGUGGGCUGGUUUGCCCUUUCCCCUUUGGCCCAUGAGGCCCUCCAACACUUGUCGGGGCUCCCGAAACACCUUUCGGUCAUGCUGGCCAUAGCCUGGUACCCCCGGAACACUUCUGGACUCCAACACCCUUCGUCCAAUAUAUCGAUCUUCAUCGCUAGACCAUUCCGGAACUCCUCGUGACGUCCAGGAUCACAUCCGGGACUCCGAACUACCUUCGGUAACCACAUACUAUUUCCCAUAACAACUCUAGUGUCAUCGAACCUUAAGUGUGUAGACCCUACGGGUUCGGGAACCAUGCAGACAUGACCGAGACGUUCUUCGGCCAAUAACCAAUAGCGAGAUCUGGAUACCCAUGUUGGCUCCCACAUGUUCCACGAUGAUCUCAUCGGAUGAACCACGAUGUCUGGGAUUCAAGCAAUCUCGUAUACAAUUCCCUUUGUCAAUUGGUACGUUACUUGCCCGAGAUUCGAUCGUCGGUAUCCCAAUGCCUCGUUCAAUCUCGUUACCGGCAAGUCACUUUAGUCGUUCCGUAAUGCAUGAUCCCAUGACUAACUACUUAGUCACAUUGAGCUCAUUAUGAUGAUGCAUUACCGAGUGGGCCCAGAGAUACCUCUCCGUCAUAUGGAGUGACAAAUCCCAUUCUUGAUUCAUGCCAACCCAACAGACACUUUCAGAGAUACCUGUAGUGCACCUUUAUAGCCACCCAGUUACAUUGUGACGUUUGGUACACCCGAAGCAUUCCUACUGUAUCCAGGAGUUGCACAAUCUCAUGGUCUAAGGAAACGAUACUUGACAUUAGAAAAGCUCUAGCAAAACGAAGUACACGAUCUUGUGCUAUGCUUAGGAUUGGGUCUUGUCCAUCACAUCAUUCUCCUAAUGAUGUGAUCCCGUUAUCAAUGACAUCCAAUGUCCAUGGUCAGGAAACCAUAACCAUCUAUUGAUCAACGAGCUAGUCAACUAGAGGCUCACUAGGGACAUGUUGUGGUCUAUGUAUUCACACAUGUAUUACGGUUUCUAGUUAAUACAAUUAUAGCAUGAACAAUAGACAAUUAUCAUGAACAAGGAAAUACAAUAAUAACCAUUUUAUUAUUGCCUCUAGGGCAUAUUUCCAACAGUCUCCCACUUGCACUAGAGUCAAUAAUCUAGUUCACAUCACUAUGUGAUUGUAAUGAAUUCAACACCCAUGGGGUUUGAUCAUAUCUCGCUUGUGAGAGAGGUUAUUAGUCAACGGGUCUGAACCUUUCAGAUCCGUGUGUGCUUUAAAAAUCUCUAUGUCAUCUUGUAGAUGCAGCUACCACGCUCUAUUUGGAGCUAUUCCAAAUAACUGUUCUACUAUAUGAAUCUGGUUUAUUACUCAGAAUCAUCCAGAUUAGUGUCAAAGUUUGCAUCGGCGUAACCCUUUACGACGAACUCUUUUACCACCUCCAUAAUCGAGAAAAUUCCUUAGUCCACUAGUUACUAAGGAUAACCUUGACCGUUGUCCUGUGAUCCAUUCCUGGAUCACACUUGUACCCCUUGACUGACUCAUGGCAAGGCACACUUCAGGCGCGGUACUCAGCAUAGCAUACUGUAGAGCCUACGUCUAAAGCAUAGGGGACGACCUUCGUCCUUUCCCUCUAUUCUACCGUGGUCAGGUUUGAGUCUUACUCAAUACUCACACCUUUCAACACAUCCAAGAACUCCUUCUUUGCCGAUCUAUUUUGAACUCCUUCAAAAUCUUGUCACAGUAUGUGUUCGUUUGAAAGUACUAUUAAGCGAUUUGAUCUAUCCUUAUAGAUCUUGAUGCUCAAUGUUCAAGUAGCUUAAUCCAGGUUUUCCAUUGAAAAAACACUUUUCAAAUAACCCUAUAUGCUUUCCAGAAACUCUACAUCAUUUCUGAUCAACAAUAUGUCAACAACAUAUACUCAUCAGAAAUUCUAUAGUGCUCCCACUCACUUCUUUGGAAAUACAAGUUUCUCAUAAACUUUGUAUAAACCCAAAAUCUUUGAUCAUCUCAUCAAAGCGUAUAUUCCAACUCCGAGAUGCUUACUCCGGUCCUUAGAAGGAUUGCUGGAGCUUUGCAUACUUGUUAGCAUCUUUCAGGAUUGUCAAAACCUUCUGGUUGUAUCACAUACAACCUUUCCUCAAGAAAAUCAUCGAGGAAACAAUGUUUUGACAUCCUAUCUGCAAGAUUUCAUAAAUAAUGCAGUAAUUGCUAAUAUAAUUCCAACAGUCCCUUAGCAACGCUAUGAGUGAGAAAGUCUCAUCAUAGUCAACUCCUUGAACUUGUCGGAAAAUAUCUUAGCGACAAGUCGAGCUUUCUUAAUGGUGAUACUUACCAUCAUUGUCCGUCUUCCUUUUAAAAUCCAUCUACACCCAACAGCCUUACAACCAUCAAGUGGUUCUUCCAAAGUUCAUACUUUGUUUUCAUACAUGGAUCCUCUCUCGGAUUUUAUGGUCUCGAGCCAUUCGUCGGAAUCCAGGCCCACCAUCGCUUCUCCAUAGAUCAUAGGUUAUAGGUCCAAGACAGGAUUAUGUACCACUCUGAAGUAGUACGUACCCUUGUCAACCUACGAGUUUUGGUAGUGACUUGAUCCGAAGUUUCAUGAUCAAUAUCAUCAGCUUCCACUUCAAUUGGUGUAGGUGCCAUAGGAACAACUUCCUGUGCCUGCUACACAUUAGUUGAAGUGAUGGUUCAAUAACCUCAUCAAGUCUCCACCAUCCACCCACUCAAUUCGUUCGAGAGAAACUUUUCCUCGAGAAAGGACCUGAUUCUAGAAACAAUCCCUUUUGCUUCCGAAACUGAGACAAGAGGUAUACCCAACUAUUUUUGGGUGUCCUAUGAAGAUGCAUUUAUCCGCUUUGGGUUCGAGCUUAUCAGCCUGAAACUUUUUCACAUAAGCGUCGCAGCCCCAAACUUUUAAGAAAUGACAACUUAGGUUUCUCUAAACCAUAGUUCAUGCGGUGUCGUCUUAACGGAAUUGCGUGGUACCCUAUUUAAAGUGAAUGCGGUUGUCUCUAAUGCCUAACCCAUAAACAAUAGUGGUAAUUCGAUAAGAGACAUCAUGGUAUGCACCAUAUCCAAUAGGGUGCAGUUAUGAUGUUCAGACACACCAUCACACUAUGGUGUUCUAGGAGGUGUUAGUUGUGAAACAAUUUCCACAAUGUCUUAUUUGUGUGCCAAACUCGUAACUCGGAUAUUCAUCUCUAUGAUCAUAUCAUAGACAUUUUAUCCUCUUGUCACGACGAUCUUCGACUUCACUCUGAAAUUACUUGUACCUUUCAAUAAUUCAAACUUGUGUUUCAUCAAGUAAAUAUACUUAGCAUCUACUCAAAUCAUCUGUGAAGUAAGAACAUAAAUAUAUCCACUGCGUGCCUCAGCACUCAUUGGACUGCACACAUCAAAAUGUAUUACUUCCAACAAGUUGCUUUCUUGUUCCAUCUCACUGAAAACGAGGCCUUUCAGUCAUCUUGCCCAUGUGGUAUGAUUUGCAUGUCUCAAGUGAUUCAAAAUCAAGUGAGUCCAAACGAUCCAUCUGUAUGGAGUUUCUUCAUGCAUAUAUACCAAUAGACAUGGUUCGCAUGUCUCAAUCUUUUCAAAAACAAGUGAGUCCAAAGAUCCAUCAACAUGGAGCUUCUUCAUGCGUUUUAUAUCAAUAUGACUCAAAUGGCAGUGCCACAAGUAUGUGGUACUAUCAUUACUAUCUUAUAUCUUUUGGCAUGAACAUGUGUAUCACUACGAUCAAGAUUCAAUAAACCAUUCAUUUUAGGUGCAAGACCAUUGAAGGUAUUAUUCAAAUAAACAGAGUAACCAUUAUUCUCCUUAAAUGAAUAACCGUAUUGCGAUAAACAUAAUCCAAUCAUGUCUAUGCUCAACGCAAACACCAAAUAACAAUUAUUUAGGUUUAACACCAAUCUCGAUGGUAGAGGGAGUAUGCGAUGCUUGAUCACAUCAACCUUGGAAACACUUCCAACACAUAUCGUCACCUCACCUUUAGCUAGUCUCCGUUUAUUCCGUAGCUUUUAUUUCGAGUUACUAACACCUAGCAACCGAACCAGUAUCUAAUACCCUGGUGCUACUAGGAGUACUAGUAAAGUACACAUUAAUAUAAUAUAUAUCCAAUAUACGUCUAUCGACCUUGCCAGCCUUCUCAUCUACCAAGUAUCUAGGGCAGUUUUGCUUCAGUGACCGUUCCCCUCAUUACAGAAGCACUUAGUCUUGGGUUUGGGUUCAACCUUGGGUUUCUUCACUAGAGCAGCAACUGAUUUGCCAUUUCAUGAAGUAUCCCUUCUUGCCCUUGCCCUUCUUGGAACUAGUGGUUUCACUAACCAUCAACAAUUGAUGCUCCUACUUGAUUUCUACUUUCGCAGAGUCAAACAUCGUGGACAGCUCAAGGAUCAUCAUAUUUAUCCCUGAUAUGUUAUAGUUCAUCACGAAGCUCUAGUAGCUUGGUGGCAAUGACUUUAGAGAACUAUCACUAUGUCAUAUGGAAGAUUAACUCCCACUCAAUUCAAGCGAUUGCAGUACUCAGACAAUCUGAGCACAUGCUCAAUGAUUGAGCUUUUGUCCCUUAGUUUGCAGGUUAAGAAACUUAUCAGAGGUCUCACACCUCUUGACAUGGGCACGAGCCUGAAAUCCUAAUUUCAGCUCUUGGAACAUCUCAUAUGUUCCGCGACAUUUCAAAAUGUCUUCGGUGCCGCAAUUCUAAACCGUUUAACAUUACACAUUGAACUAUCAUGUAGUCAUCAAAACGUGUAUGUCAGAUGUUCGCAACAUCCAUAGACGACGCUCGAGGUUCAGCACACCGAGCGGUGCAUUAAGGACAUAAGCCUUCUGCGCAACAAUGAGGAUAAUCCUUAGUUUACGGACCCAGUCCGCAUAAUUGCUACUCCCUCCGUCCGAAAAUACUUGUCAUCAAAAUGGACAAAAAAGGAUGUAUCUAGAACUAAAACACAUCUACAUACAUCCCCUUUUAUUCAUUUUGAUGACAAGUAUUUCCGGACGGAGGGAGUACUAUCAACUUUCAACUAAAAUUUUCUCUAGGAACAUAUCUUAAACGGUAGAACUAAAGCGUAAGCUACGACAUAAUAUGCAAAGACCUUUUGACUAUGUUCAUGAUAAUUAAGUUCAUCUGGUUAUUUAAUGAACUCUCACUUAGAUAGACAUCCCUCUAGUCAUCUAAGUGAUACAUGAUCCGAGUCAACUAGGCCAUGUCCGAUCAUCACGUGAGACGGACUAGUCAUCAUCGGUGAACAUCUUUAUGUUGAUCGUAUCUACUAUACGACUCAUGUUCGACCUUUCCGUCUCUUGUGUUCUGAGGCCAUGUCUAUACAUGCUAGGCUUGUCAAGUCAACCUAAGUGUUUUGCAUGUGUAAAUCUGGCUUACACCCGUUGUAUGUGAACGUUAGAAUCUAUCACACCCGAUCAUCACGUGGUGCUUCGAAACAACGAACUUUCGCAAUGGUGCACAAUUAGGGGGAACACUUUCUUGAAAUUUUAAUGAGGAAUCUUCUUAUUUAUGCUACCGUUGUUCUAAGCAAAUAAGAUGUAAACAUGAUAAACAUCACAUGCAAAUCAUAAAGUGACAUGAUAUGGCCAAUAUCAUUUUGCGCCUUUGAUCUCCAUCUUUGAGGUGCGGCAUGAUCACCUUCGUCACCGGCAUGACACCAUGAUCUCCAUCAUCGUGUCUUCAUGAAGUUGUCUCGCCCACUAUUACUUCUACUACUAUGGCUAAUGGUUAGCAAUAAAGUAAAGUAAUUACAUGGCAUUUUCAAUGACACGUAGGUCAUACAAUAAAUUAAGACAACUCCUAUGGCUCCUGCCGGUUGUCAUACUCAUCGACAUGCAAGUCAUGAUUCCUAUUACAAGAACAUGAUCAAUCUCAUACAUCACAUAUAUAUAAUUCAUCACUUCCUUUUGGCCAUAUCACAUCACAUAGCAUACCCUGCAAAAACAAGUUAGACGUCCUCUAAUUGUUGUUGCAUGUUUUACGUGGCUGCUAUGGGUUUCUAGCAAGAACGUUUCUUACCUACGCAAAAGCCACAAUGGUGAUAUGCCAAUUGCUAUUUACCAUUCAUAAGGACCCUUUUCAUCAAAUCCGAUCCGACUAAAGUGGGAGAGAGUGGCACCCGCUAGCCACCUUUAUGCUACAAGUGCAUGUUAGUCGGUUGAACCUGUCUCAUCUAAGCGUACGUGUAAGGUCGGUCCGGGCCGCUUCAUCCCACAAUACCGCCGAAACAAGAUAGGACUAGUAACGGUAAGAAAAUUGAACAAACCAAUGCCCACAACUACUUGUGUUCUACUCGUGCAUAGAAUCUACGCAAUAGACCUAGCUCAUGAUGCCACUGUUGGGGAACGUAGUAAUAAUUCAAAAUUUUCCUACGUGUCACCAAGAUCAAUCUAUGGAUAUUCUAGCAACAACAGAGGGAGAGGAUGAGCAUCUUCAUACCUUUGAAGAUCGCUAAGCGGAAGCAUUACAAGAACACGGUUGAUGGAGUCAUACUCGCGGCGAUUCAAAUCGCAGAAGAUCCGAUCAAGCGCCAAAUGGACGGCGCCUCCGCGUUCAACACACAUACAGCCCGGGGACGUCUCCUCCUUCUUGAUCCAGCAAGGGGAGAGGAGAAGUUGAGGGAGAAGUCCAACAGCACGACGGCGUGGUGGUGGUGGAGCUCGUGGUUCUCCAGCAGGGCUUCGCCAAGCACUAUGGAGGAGGAGGUGUAGGAGGAGGGAGGGCUGCGCCAGGGAAGAUGUGCGGCUGCCCUCCCACCCCUCCACUAUAUAUAGGGGCAAGGGGAGAGGGGGAGGCGCCCUAGGGUUUCCCCUAGGGGGGGGGCGGCCAAGCAAAUUGGAUAUCCCUAGGAAAAAUCCUAGGGAGACUUGCCCCCCAGCCAAGCAGGUGGAGGAUUGCCUCCCAAGCUAGGUGGAGGCGCCCCACCUCCCCAAAUAACGUGGGAAAGGGUGUGGGGGGCACACCACCCCUUAGUGGGCUGGUUUGCCCCUUCCCCUUUGGCCCAUGAGGCCCUCCAACACUUGUCGGGGCUCCCGAAACACCUUUCGGUCAUGCUGGCCACAGCCUGGUACCCCCGGAACACUUCUGGACUCCAACACCCUUCGUCCAAUAUAUCGAUCUUCACCGCCAGACCAUUCUGGAACUCCUCGUGACGUCCGGGAUCACAUCCGGGACUCCGAAUUACCUUUGGUAACCACAUACUACUUCCCAUAACAACUCUAGUGUCACCAAACCUUAAGUGUGUAGACCCUACGGGUUCGGGAACCAUGCAGACAUGACCGAGACGUUCUUCGGCCAAUAACCAAUAGCGGGAUCUGGAUACCCAUGUUGGCUCCCACAUGUUCCACGAUGAUCUCAUCGGAUGAACCACGAUGUCUGGGAUUCAAGCAAUCCCGUAUACAAUUCCCUUUGUCAAUCGGUACGUUACUUGCCCGAGAUUCGAUAGUCGGUAUCCCAAUACCUCGUUCAAUCUCGUUACCGGCAAGUCACUUUAGUCGUUCCGUAAUGCAUGAUCCCGUGACUAACUACUUAGUCACAUUGAGCUCAUUAUGAUGAUGCAUUACCGAGUGGGCCCAGAGAUACCUCUCCGUCAUACGGAGUGACAAAUCCCAGUCUUGAUUCAUGCCAACCCAACAGACACUUUCGGAGAUACCUGUAGUGCACCUUUAUAGCCACCCAGUUACGUUGUGACGUUUGGUACACCCAAAGCAUUCCUACGGUAUCCGGGAGUUGCACAAUCUCAUGGUCUAAGGAAACGAUACUUGACAUUAGAAAAGCUCUAGCAAAAAUAAGUACACGAUCUUGUGCUAUGCUUAGGAUUGGGUCUUGUCAAUCACAUCAUUCUCCUAAUGAUGUGAUCCCGUUAUCAAUGACAUCCAAUGUCCAUGGUCAGGAAACCAUAAUCAUCUAUUGAUCAAUGAGCUAGUCAACUAGAGGCUCACUAGGGACAUGUUGUGGUCUAUGUAUUCACACAUGUAUUACGGUUUCCAGUUAAUACAAUUAUAGCAUGAACAAUAGACAAUUAUCAUGAACAAGGAAAUACAAUAAUAACCAUUUUAUUAUUGCCUCUAGGGCAUAUUUCCAACAACGCUAUGCUCACACCGAAGCGCCGGAGGCAGAUAGCGGGGGAGAUCCAGGCAAGGCGUGUCGCCCGCAUCGCUGCCGGGCUACCUCCGGACUCGCCGGAGCCGGAGGAGGGAGAGCAGCUUCUGGAGCCGAUGGAGGUGGCGGAUCCGGAGGAGGACGAGGUGGAAAAGCCUACUCCGGAGUUCAACAUGGCGGAGGCGGAGUUCACCGUCGCCCAAGCCGCGAAGAUGGCAGAGCAGGCCAUCUUGGAGUCCAACCAGGAUGAGGCCUAUGGAGGCCAACCGGCAGUUCCUCCGGCAGGAGCAGGCGGCGUCCGACGCGCUCUUCACCAAACUCGACGCGGGGAUAGAGGAGGACGCCGGAGCGGAGCCGUCGGAGGCGCCGGAGCUGCAGCUGCCGCCCAUGCUGCCGGAGCAGGGCACGGAGAUAGUCAACAUCUCCGACGACGAGUAGCUAGUGUUGGAAAUAUGCCCUAGAGGCAAUAAUAAAAUGGUUAUUAUUAUAUUUCCUUGUUCAUGAUAAUUGUCUAUUGUUCAUGCUAUAAUUGUAUUAACUGGAAGCCGUAAUACAUGUGUGAAUACAUAGACCACAACAUGUCCCUAGUGAGCCUCUAGUUGACUAGCUCGUUGAUCAAUAUAUGGUUAUGGUUUCCUGACCAUGGACAUUGGAUGUCAUUGAUAACGGGAUCACAUCAUUAGGAGAAUGAUGUGAUGGACAAGACCCAAUCCUAAGCAUAGCACAAGAUCAUGUAGUUCGUUUGCUAAAAGCUUUUCUAAUGUCAAGUAUCAUUUCCUUAGACCAUGAAAUUGUGCAACUCCCGGAUACCGUAGGAAUGCUUUGGGUGUGCCAAACGUCACAACGUAAUUGGGUGGCUAUAAAGGUGCACUACGGGUAUCUCCGAAAGUGUCUGUUGGGUUGGCACGAAUCAAGACUGGGAUUUGUCACUCCGUGUGACGGAGAGGUAUCUCUGGGCCCACUCGGUAAUGCAUCAUCAUAAUGAGCUCAAUGUGACUAAAUAGUUAGUCACAGGAUCAUGCAUUACGGAACAAGUAAAGUGACUUGCCGGUAACGAGAUUGAACGAGGUAUUGGGAUACCGACGAUCGAAUCUCGGGCAAGUAACGUAUCGAUUGACAAAGGGAAUUGUAUACGGGAUUGCUUGAAUCCUUGACAUCGUGGUUCAUCCGAUGAGAUCAUCAUGGAACAUGUGGGAGCCAACAUGGGUAUCCAGAUCCCGCUAUUGGUUAUUGGCCAGAGAGCUGUCUCGGUCAUGUCUGCAUGAUUCCCGAACCCGUAGGGUCUACACACUUAAGGUUCGGUGACGCUAGAGUUGUUAUGGGAAUUAGUGUGCAGUUACCGAAUGUUAUUCGGAGUCCCGGAUGAGAUCCCGGACGUCACAAGGAGUUCUAGAAUGGUCCAGAUGUAAAGAUUUAUAUAUGGGAAGUCCUAUUUUGACCACCGGAAAAUGUUCAGGAUUUUUCGGUAUUGUACCGGGAAGGUUCUAGAAGGUUCCGGAGUGGGGCCAACCUGCAUGGGGGGACCCACUUGAGCGUGGGUAGUGGGGGCAAGGCCCCACACCCCUGGUCAAGGCGCACCAAGAUCCCCCCUUAGAAGGAAUAAUAUCAUAUCCCGAAGGGAUAAGAUCAAGAUCCCUAAAAAGGGGGGAUAACAAUCGGUGGGGAAGGAAAUGAUGGGAUUUCUUUCCUCCCACCUUUGCCAAUGCCCCAAUGGACUUGGACGGCAAGAAACCAGCCCCCUCCACCCCUAUAUAUAGUGGGGAGGUGCAUGGGAGCUUCACCCUUCCCCUGGCGCAGCCCUCUCCCUCCCCAACACCUCCUCCGUAGUAGUAGUGCUUGGCGAAGCUCUGCCGGAGAACUGCAAGCUCCACCACCACGCCAUCGUGCUGACGGAGCUCUCCCUCAACUUCUCCUCUCCCCUUGAUGGAUCAAGAAGGAGGAGACGUCCCUGGGCUAUACAUGUGUUGAACACGGAGGCACCGUUGUUCGGUGCUUAGAUUGGAUUCGACCGCGAUCUGAAUCGCUUAGUGAACGACUCCACCAACCGCGUUCUUGCAACGCUUCCGCAUCGCGAUCUUCAAGGGCAUGAAGAUUCACUCCCCUCUCUCUCUCGUUGCUAGUUACUCCAUAGAUUGAUCUUGGUGAUGCGUAGAAAAUUUUGAAUUUCUGCUACUUUCCCCAACAGUGGUAUCAGAGUUAGGUCUAUUGCGUAGAUUCUAUGCACGAGUAGAACACAAGUUGUUGUGGGCGUUGGUUUGUUCAAUUUGCUUACCGUUACUAGUCCUAUCUUGAUUCGGCGGCAUCGUGGGAUGAAGCGGCCCGGACCGACCUUACACGUACGCUCACGUGAGGCAGGUUCCACCGACUGACAUGCACUUGUUGCAUAAAGGUGGCUAGCGGGUGCCAGUCUCUCCCACUUUAGUCGGAUAGGAUUCGAUGAAAAGGGUCCUUAUGAAGGGUAAAUAGCAAUUGGCAUAUCACCGUUGUGGCUUUUGCGUAGGUAAGAAACAUUCUUGCUAGAAACCCAUAGCAGCCACGUAAAACAUGCAACAACAAUUAGAGGAUGUCUAACUUGUUUUUGCAGGGUAUGCUAUGUGAUGUGAUAUGGCCAAAAGAAUGUGAUGAAUUAUAUAUGUGAUGUAUGAGAUUGAUCAUGUUCUUGUAAUAGGAAUCACGACUUGCAUGUCGAUGAGUAUGACAACCGGCAGAAGCCAUAGGAGUUGUCUUAAUUUAUUGUAUGACCUGCGUGUCAUUGAAAACGCCAUGUAAUUACUUUACUUUAUUGCUAAACCGUUAGCCAUAGUAGUAGAAGUAAUAGUUGGCGAGACAACUUCAUGAAGACACGAUGAUGGAGAUCAUGGUGUCAUGCCGGUGACGAAGGUGAUCAUGUCGUGCCUCAAGAUGGAGAUCAAAGGCGCAAAAUGAUAUUGGCCAUAUCAUGUCACUUUAUGAUUUGCAUGUGAUGUUUGUCAUGUUUACAUCUUAUUUGCUUAGAAUGACGGUAGCAUAAAUAAGAUGAUCCCUCAUUAAAAUUUCAAGUGUUCCCCCUAACUAUACACCAUUGCGAAAGUUCGUUGUUUCGAAGCACCACGUGAUGAUCGGGUGUGAUAGAUUCUAAUGUUCACAUACAACGGGUGUACACCAGAUUUACACACGCAAAACACUUAGGUUGACUUGACGAGCCUAGCAUGUACAGACAUGGCCACGGAACACAAGAGACCGAAAGGUCGAACAUGAGUCGUAUAGUAGAUAUGAUCAACAUGGAGAUGUUCACCGAUGAUGACUAUUCCGUCUCACGUGAUGAUCGGACACGGCCUAGUUCACUCGGAUCAUGUAUCACUUAGAUGACUAGAGGGAUGUCUAUCUGAGUGGGAGUUCAUUAGAUGAACUUAAUUAUCAUGAACAUAGUCAAAAGGACUUUGCAAAUUAUGUUGUAGCUUGUGCUUUAGUUCUACUGUUUAAGAUAUGUUCCUAGAGAAAAUUUUAGUUGAAAGUUGAUAGUAGCAAUUAUGCGGACUGGGUCUGUAUACUGAGGAUUGUCCUCAUUGCUGCACAGAAGGCUUAUGUCCUUAAUGCACCGCUCGGUGUGCUGAACCUCGAGCGUCGUUUGUGGAUGUUGCGAACAUCUGACAUACACAUUUUGAUGACUACGUGAUAGUUCAGUGCGUAAUGUUAAACGGUUUAGAAUUGAGGCAGCGAAGACAUUUUUUGAAACGUUGCAGAACAUAUGAGAUGUUCCAAGAGCUAAAAUUAGGAUUUCAGGCUCGUGCCCAUGUCAAGAGGUAUGAGACCACCAACAAGUUUCUUAACCUGCAAACUAAGGGAGAAAAGCUCAAUCAUUGAGCAUGUGCUCAGAUUGUCUGAGUACUACAAUCACUUGAAUCGAGUGGGAGUUAAUCUUCCAGAUGAGAUAGUGAUGGUUCUCCAUAGUCACUGCCACCAAGCUAUUAGAGCUUCGUGAUGAACUAUAACAUAUCAUGGAUAGACAUGAUGAUCCUUGAGCAAUUCGCGAUGUUUGACACCGCGAAAGUAGAAAUCGAGUAGGAGCAUCAAUUGUUGAUGGUUAGUAAAACCACUAGUUUCAAGAAGGGCAAGGGCAAGAAGGGAUACUUCAUGAGACGACAAAUCAGUUGCUGCUCUAGUGAAGAAACCCAGGGUUGAACCCAAACCCGAGACUAAGUGCUUCUGUAAUGAGGGAACGGUCACUGAAGCAGAACUACCCUAGAUACUUGGUAGAUGAGAAGGCUGGCAAGGUUGACAGAAGUAUAUUGGAUAUACAUUGUAUUAAAUGUGUACUUUACUAGUACUCCUAGUAGCACCAGGGUAUUAAGAUACCGGUUCGGUUGCUAAGUGUUAGUAACUCGGAAUAAAAGAGCUACGGAAUAAACGGAGACUAGCUAAAGGUGAGAUGAUGAUGUGUGUUGGAAGUGUUUCCAAGGUUGAUGUGAUCAAGCAUCACAUGCUCCCUCUACCAUCGAGAUUGGUGUUAAACCUAAAUAAUUGUCAUUUGGUGUUUGCGUUGAGCAUAAACAUGAUUGGAUUAUGUUUAUCGCAAUACGGUUAUUCGUUUAAGGAGAAUAAUGGUUACUCUGUUUAUUUGAAUAAUACCUUCAACGGUCUUGCACCUAAAAUGAAUGGUUUAUUGAAUCUCGAUCGUAGUGAUACACAUGAUCAUGCCAAAAGAUAUAAGAUAGUAAUGAUAGUACCACAUACUUAUGGCGCUGCCACUUAAGUCAUAUUGGUAUAUAACGCAUGAAGAAGCUCCAUAUUGAUGGAUCUUUGGACUCACUCGUUUUUGAAAAGAUUGAGACAUGUGAACCACGUCUAUUGGUAUAUACGCAUGAAGAAACUCCAUGCAGAUGGAUCGUUUGGACUCACUUGUUUCUGAAUCACUUGAGACAUGCAAAUCAUACCACAUGGGCAAGAUGACUGAAAGGCCUCGUUUUCAGUGAGAUGGAACAAGAGAGCAACUUGUUGGAAGUAAUACAUUUGAUGUGUGCAAUCCAAUGAGUGCUAAGGCACGCAGUGAAUAUCGUUAUGCUUUUACUUCACAGAUGAUUUGAGUAGAUUCUUAGUAUAUUUACUUGAUGAAACACAAAUCUGAAUUAUUGAAAGGUUCAAGUAAUUUCAGAGUGAAGUUGAAGAUCGUCGUGACAAAAGGAUAAAAUGUCUAUGAUGUGAUCAUAGAGAUAAAUAUCUGAGUUACGAGUUUGGCACACAAUUAAGACAUUGUGGAAAUUGUUUCACAACUAAUACCGCCUGGAACACCAUAGUGUGAUGGUGUGUCCGAACAUCGUAACUGCACCCUAUUGGAUAUGGUGCAUACCAUGAUGUCUCUUAUCGAAUUAACACUAUCGUUUAUGGGUUAGGCAUUAGACACAACCGCAUUCACUUUAAUAGGGCACCACACAAUUCCAUUAAGAUGACACCGUAUGAACUAUGGUUUAGAGAAACCUAAGUUGUCAUUUCUUAUAAAGUUUGGGGCUGCGACGCUUAUGUGAAAAAGUUCCAGGCUGAUAAGCUCGAACCCAAAGCGGAUAAAUGCAUCUUCAUAGGACACCCAAAAUAGUUGGGUAUACCUCCUGUCUCAGAUCCGGAAGCAAAAGGGAUUGUUUCUAGAAUCAGGUCCUUUCUCGAGGAAAAGUUUCUCUCAAAAGAAUUGAGUGGGAGGAUGGUGGAGACUUGAUGAGGUUAUUGAACCGUCACUUCAACUAGUGUGUAGCAGGGCACAGGAAGUUGUUCUUGUGGCGCCUACACCAGUUGAAGUGGAAGCUGAUGAUAGUGAUCAUGAAACUUCGGAUAAAGUCACUACCAAACCUCGUAGGUCGACAAGGACGCGUACUGCUUCAGAGUGGUGCGGUAAUCCUAUCUUGAAGGUCAUGUUGCUAGACAACAAUGAACCUACGAGCUAUGGAUAAGCAAUGGUGGAAGAUCCAUGUAUGAGCCAUAAAAUCCGAGAGAGGAUCCAUGUAUGAAACCUACGAGCCAUAAAAUCCGAGAGAGGAUCCAUGUAUGAAACCAAAGUAUAGACUUUGGAAGAACUACUUGAUGGUCGUAAGGCUGUUGGAUAUAGAUGGAUUUUAAAAGGAAGACGAACAAUGAUGGUAAGUAUCACCAAUAAGAAAGCUCGACUUGUCAUUAAGAUGUUUUCUGACAAAUUCAAGGAGUUGACUAUGAUGAGACUUUCUCACUCGUAGCGAUGCUAAGAGUCUAUUGAAAUUAUAUUAGCAGUUCCUGCAUUAUUUAUGAAAUCUUGCAGAUAGGAUGUCAAAACAUUGUUUCCUCAAUGAUUUUCUUGAGGAAAGGUUGUAUGUGAUACAACCAAAAGGUUUUGUCAAUCCUAAAAGAUGCUAACAAGUAUGCAAAGCUCCAGCAAUCCUUCUAAGGACUGGAGUAAGCAUCUCGAAGUUGGAAUAUAUGCUUUGAUGAGAUGAUCAAAGAUUUUGGGUUUAUACAAAGUUUAUUGGAAACUUGUAUUUCCAAAGAAGUGAGUGGGAGCACUAUAGCAUUUUUGAUGAGUAUAUGUUGUUGACAUAUUGUUGAUCGGAAAUGAUGUAGAAUUUCUGGAAAGCAUAUAGGGUUAUUUGAAAAGUGUUUUUCAAUGGAAAACCUGGAUUAAGAUACUUGAACAUUGAGCAUCAAGAUCUAUAAGGAUAGAUCAAAAAUCACUUGAUGGUACUUUCAAAUGAAUACGCACCGUGACAAGAUUUUGAAGGAGUUCAAAAUAGAUCGGCAAAGAAGGAUUUCCUGGUUGUGUUAUAAGGUGUAAGUAUUAAGUAAGACUCAAGACCUGACCACGGCUGAAGAGAGAGAAAGGACGAAGGUCGUCCCCUAUGCUUUAGACGUAGGCUCUAUAGUAUGCUAUGUUGUGUACUGCACCUAAAGUGUGCCUUGCCAUGAGUCAGUCAAGGGGUACAAGAGUGAUCCAGAAAUGGAUCACAGGACAGCGGUCAAAGUUAUCCUUAGUGACUAGUGAACUAAGGAAUUUUUCUCGAUUAUGGAGGUGGUAAAAUAGAUCGUCGUAAAGGGUUACGUCGAUGCAAACUUUGACACUAAUCUGGAUGACUCUCAAUAGUAAACCGGAUUCAUAUAGUAGAGCAGUUAUUUGGAAUAGUUCCAAAUAGUGUGUGGUAGCUGCAUCUACAAGAUGACGUAGAGAUUUGUAAAGCACACAAGGAUCUGAAAGGUUCAGACCCAUUGACUAAUAACCUCUCUCACAAGCGAGAUAUGAUCAAACCCCAUGGGUGUUGGAUUCAUUACGAUCACAUAGUGAUGUGAACUAGAUUAUUGACUCUAGUGCAAGUGAGAGACUAUUGGAAAUAUGCCCUAGAGGCAAUAAUAAAAUGGUUAUUAUUAUAUUUCCUUGUUCAUGCUACAAUUGUAUUAACUGGAAACCGUAAUACAUGUGUGAAUACAUAGACCAUAACAUGUCCCUAGUGAGCCUCUAGUUGACUAGCUCGUUGAUCAAUAGAUGGUUAUGGUUUCCUGACCAUGGACAUUGGAUGUCAUUGAUAACGGGAUCACAUCAUUAGGAGAAUGAUGUGAUGGACAAGACCCAAUCCUAAGCAUAGCACAAGAUCGUGUAGUUCGUUUGCUAAAAGCUUUUCUAAUGUCAAGUAUCAUUUCCUUAGACCAUGAGAUUGUGCAACUCCCGGAUACCGUAGGAAUGCUUUGGGUGUGCCAAACGUCACAACGUAACUGGGUGGCUAUAAAGGUCCACUACGGGUAUCUCCGGAAGUGUCUGUUGGGUUGGCAUGAAUUGAGACUGGGAUUUGUCACUCCGUGUGACGGAGAGGUAUCUCUGGGCCCACUCGGUAAUGCAUCAUCAUAAUGAGCUCAAUGUGACUAAGUAGUUAGUCACGGGAUCAUGCAUUACGGAACAAGUAAAGUGACUUGCCGGUAAUGAGAUUGAACGAGGUAUUGGGAUACCGACGAUCGAAUCUCGGGCAACUAACGUACCGAUUAACAAAGGGAAUUGUAUACGGGAUUGUUUGAAUCCUUGACAUCGUGGUUCAUCCGAUGAGAUCAUCGUGGAACAUGUGGGAGCCAACAUGGGUAUCCAGAUCCUGCUGUUGGUUAUUGGCCAGAGAGUUGUCUCGGUAAUGUCUGCAUGAUUCCCGAACCCGUAGGGUCUACACACUUAAGGUUCGGUGACGCUAGAGUUGUUAUGGGAAUUAGUGUGCAGUUACCGAAUGUUGUUCGGAAUCCCGGAUGAUAUCCCGGACGUCACAAGGAGUUCCAGAAUGGUUCAGAGGUAAAGAUUUAUAUAUGGAAAGUCCUAUUUUGGCCACCGGAAAAUGUUCGGGAUUUUUCGGUAUUGUACCGGGAAGGUUCUAGAAGGUUCCGGAGUGGGGCCCACCUGCAUGGGGGGACCCACAUGAACAUGGGUAGUGGGGGCAAGGCCCCACACCCCUGGUCAAGGCACACCAAGAUCCCCCCUUAGAAGGAAUAAGAUCAUAUCCCGAAGGGAUAAGAUCAAGAUCCCUAAAAAGGGGGGAUAACAAUCAGUGGGGAAGAAAAUGAUGGGAUUUCUUUCCUCCCACCUUUGCCAACGCCCCAAUGGACUUGGAGGGCAAGAAACCAGCCCCCUCCACCCCUAUAUAUAGUGGGGAGGCGCAUGGGAGCUUCACCCUUCCCCUGGCGCAGCCCUCUCCCUCCCCAACACCUCCUCCGUAGUAGUAGUGCUUGGCGAAGCUCUGCCCGAGAACUGCAAGCUCCACCACCACGUCGUCGUGCUGCCGGAGUUCUCCCUCAACUUCUCAUCUCCCCUUGCUGGAUCAAGAAGUAGGAGACGUCCCCGGGUUGUAUGUGUGUUGAACGCGGAGGCAUCGUUGUUCGGUGCUUAGAUCGGAUUCGACCGCGAUCUGAAUCGCUUAGUGAACGACUCCACCAACCGCGUUCUUGCAACGCUUCCGCAUCGCGAUCUUCAAGGGCAUGAAGAUGCACUCCCCUCUCUCGUUGCUAGUUACUCCAUAGAUUGAUCUUGGUGAUGCGUAGAAAAUUUUGAAUUUCUGCUACGUUCCCCAACAGCUAGAUCAUCUACUUAGUACGUAGGUUUUAUCGUUUGCAUGCUUUUAUAUGGAUUUGAGAAUCUAGUAUGAGAUAUCCGAAUGCAGUUGUGCCAAUUUGAGGAGUGCCCGGUCAUUACCCUCGGACACGCCCAGGCACGUCCACUGGCGUUUGAGGAGUCAUAUUUGUCAUAUGCGGUUGUAGAUGCUCUUAACUUCAUAUCACUGACAAGUUGUAUUCCCAACUAGAUCAUUGAAGGCGCAUGUUGCCACGCCCGUCCAUUUUUACAGUAGAUCAAUAGAAAUUUAUAAAGUGAAAAUAAAAUCUUCAUGAAGUUUGUCUUCAAAGUAAUGCAGAUUGCCGUGCCCGUCCAUUUUUACAAUGGAAUGAUGCGAAUUUUUUUUCUAAAUAAACUAAUACAGGGAACAUGAAAUUUCAAUUUGCAUAAAGUUACAUUGACAGUGAUGAAAGUGAACAAUCUAUGGUUUUACAAAAAAAGAGAAUUCUAUUGUUACAAUAGAAAAAAGGAGACAUGCAUGAUGCACUCAAGUAAACGAUAUUCUAGUUUUCUUUCUAUUUCUAUCACAUCAUUAGUGGAUGUCCAAAUCUUAGAUAAUAGUAUAAUGAUGUCAACCACUAUAAAUAAUACACAAGAUCAAGAAUAGCAGCAAAGCUCGGCAUGAAAAGUAUGAGACCUCUGCAGCAAACCAAGCCCUCUACCAGUAGCCUAUGUAGAAACGAAUAUUCCAACAAUUAAGCAAUGAAAUCCUUUUAAGAGUAUCUCCAACAGGCGCCCAAGCGCGGCGCGUUAAAAAUGAGAAUACCGCGCCGCGUGAAUCAGGUUUUGCGCGCGGCCCUGCGCUGGCUCCGGCGGCCGCUGCAAAAUAAAGCGUGCCCGAGCCGCUCCAACAGGCGUGCUAUUUUUUUUUCUUGAGACGAUUGCAUACAUAGCAUACAAAUAUGAAGACAGUUCGGCACAUAUCCUGCUUCUACGAUACAAAAUGUGUACAUCCAUGCUUCUCCAACGAUAUAUAGUUCUACUACGUCCACGUAGCCUGCUUCUACGAUACAAAAUAAAACUAAAAAUUACUACUACUCGUUCUCCGACUCACACUCUGCCUCGGUGAUGUCCUCCUCCGACGUCUGAGCAUAGGCGUCAAGGAACCGCUCGUCGCGGAGUCCCAGGACGACGCAUCUCCUAGCGCCAUGUUGUAUUUAGCGACCGCCUUCCGCGUUCGCUUGUCCUCGCGAUAGGCGGCUCGCUCCUUCCUUCUCUCCUCCCUCUCCGCCCUCCUCUCGGUGAAGAACUGUUCCUCGUUGAUGAUGUCUUGCAGGAAGCAUUGCCUCCACAGCGCCAUGGCUCCCUCGUCCAUCUCGGCCAGGCUAAGACGGCGCUCCUGCCUCCGGUGUUUGCGACGAUCCUUGUCAGUGUUAAGCUGCGGGAAAGGCACCAACUCCUGUGCCCGCUCCCGCGUCGCCACGUCGGUGAAGUUCAUGUCCCAACGCGACCGCCGGAGGCGCCACGCCGCAGCAUCGUAUGCGCGGGCGCCAUCCUGGGCGGUGUUGAAGGUUCCGAGGCUGAGGCGCACGCCGCCGCCCGACUGAAUCGAGGCGGAAUAGGUGUCGGACGGACGCACGCGAACGCCGCGGUAGCCCGAACCUCCCCGGCGGCGAGGCGGCAUGGUGGCGCGGUGGUGGCGUGUCGGCGGCGAGAAGAGAAAGCAGUGGAGAGAGCGAGAGAGAGCGGCAGAGGGCGCUGCAAUUUUAUAGGCGUGCGCGAAGCGGCGCGCCAAAUCUACCGCGCGAGCGGACGCUUUUUUCCGCGCGCGCGCAAUCGUUUCCCGCGCGCGCUAGUUUGCCGCCACCGCUGAAGCGCGCGAAACCGGGCCGCACGCGCUAAAAAGCCAAUUUACCGCGCGCGCGCCUUUUGGCGCGCCUGUUUGAGAUGCUCUAACACCGCAAAAAAAAAACAAGCAUUGAUGCCAUCCUUAUCAAAGGAGCAGAAGGGUACAUGAAUAAAUUAACAAAAUGAGAUGGAAGAGGAUUAAGUAGAUAAAAAUAUGGCACCUUUAUAACCCAUAUCUAAGUGUCUUUUUGCUGCUUGCCAUCCUUGAUCCAUCUUUGGUUUCUCCAGCACCCUCUUUUGCUGAGCAUCACUCGUCUUGUACCUCUUGUUAUCCGUUUGUUUCUACUUAUUUACCUGAAAGUCGGAAUUGAUGCAGCUUGAUCAAUGUCAAUGAUGUGCAAAAACAGUGACCAUUACAAAGUUGCGAAGCUCACCCGACCAAAGGCACUCAUGGAAGGUUCCUUGACUUUGCCUUUGAUCUACUUAAAGGAAACAAGUAAGGUGUGAUGAUUAAAGGUGUGAAUUUUGGCAUAUUAGCAAGAGUUGUUUUUGGCCAAUUGGCAGUUGUGUUGCCAAGCCUAAGAUGUUGGGAGCAGCUAUGAAGAUGACUUCUUCUAAAUGAAACAGCAGGAGCGACAAUUUUAUCUUGUAUGACAUUGUUCUCUGGAUCAACAUGCAACAACCAUCCCGGUGCCUUCUUUGCACAAGAAGCCUUCCUGCAGUCAAUAGAUAAGAAAUUUUCCAAUUGGUUCAUGAUAGAUUAAUACAAUCUCUUUGAUACAUUAAAUAGAAUUAUAUGAACACAUGCUAACACUAAAAAAACUAAUCUAACAGUUCAUGUGUCUUAUCAACAUUAACACAUGUUAACACUAAAAUAUAAUCUAACAGUUCCUGUGUCGUAUCAACAUUAACUGUGUAUGAAGCUAUUUCUAACUACCUGAUAUAAAUCAGUAAAUGUUCUGGCUUGCAACUACAACUGAGUGCAAAUACAACAUUAAGCGAUCUAGAUUCUGCAACUUCCUAAUGUGCGGUGCACUCAGAUGAAGAAAUCUUUGGUUCUAGUCUAUCAAUCAUGAAUUAUUUCCUUUAGGUGCAGGUGUUCUACAAUAAAAAAGACAGGAAUGAAGAAACUUGCAAACGGCAUGCAAUGAACAAUGUAGACAAAAAAUGGUUAUUAAUAACCUAAUGCUAAACAUAAAGAUAAGAGGUAUGGCGGCCACAUGAACAAAUUAACUGUCCGACAGCCACUCGAGAAGAACUCACACAUAUAUAAUACUCACAUGUAUAAGAGUAACAAAACAAAGAAUGGCAUCUAAAGAAAAGAAAAAUCGGCAGACAGCUUUUCUUCCCGGAAACGAACACGUUGUAUCUCACCACGAUCAUACUUAUGGUUUGGACAUCGGGAAGGAAAUAAUAUCAUAUGCUAAUGCUGAGGCCAACGCCACGAUGGGCGACCAGGACGCACCGCGUGUUGGACGGCGCACUCUUCUUGGUGUUCUUCUGGUCCGCUGGAUGAGCCGGUGCUGGCGCCGGACCUAGGAUCCGCCCAAGGUUGAGGUCGUGGUCGGAGAAGACACCUAGGAUCUGCUAGUGGGAGGGGUUGACCAAGCCUUGCGGUGGGCGCCGUCGCUGAAAGUCGACAUCUAGAGAAGCAUACUGGAGAUCGAGGUUUGCGUCCGCAGAUCGUGAGAGAGAGGAAAGGUCGGGAAGGGAGACCAUGGAGAGACGCCGCCAGCGCCAGGCGAGGAUGCGAGCGAACGAGAGACCAGGGGUCGUGAGCGGCUCGCGAACUGUUUAGGUUUUACCAUCUUUGCGUCGCACGGGAGCCUGGUACAGGCCAGUAGGCCCAAUUGAGUCUCCGACACCCAAAAAAACCACCAGAGCAGCGGCCCAAUCAGGUUAGCGCUCGUUCGGAUCGGAACUAAGCAUCGAUGUGUUACUCAAAAAAAAAACUAAGCAUCGAUGUGGGAUUAAGAGGUAAUGGACGGCCAAAAAUGCAUAAAAGUGACUAUCCAACUGUUAAGAAGGCAGAUGGCCUGAGAGGGCUGGGAGGCUGCUCAGUUAUAAUGUAUCUAAAAAUAUAUAGUGUGCAGACCAGUCAAACAAGCCUCUGGUCAUCGAAAAAAAAUGUCAAGCAAACACAAACUUCCAACUGUUAACUUGUACUCCCUCCGUUUCUUUUUAGUCUGCAUAUAAGAUUUGGUCAAAGUCAAACCUAAUAAAGUUUGACCAACUUUAUAGAAAAAAAAUAUUAACAUCUACAAUACUAAAGCUAUACUGUAUGAAAUUAAUUUCAUGAUGCAUCUAACAUUAUUAAUUUCAUAUUAUGAACCUUGAUAUUAUUUUCUAUAAACUUAGUCAAAGUUAAUAAAAAAUUGACUUUGACCAAAUUUUAUAUGCAGACUAAAAAAACGAAGAGAGUACUAUAUACAGGAAGGAAACUUUUCACUGUGAUAUAACUGGAUCAAGGACCAUGUAUAAGAAUGUAAGGAAGGAAACUUUUCACUGUGAACCCCCUCCCCCCAAACUUUAAAACAGGGUUCUUAAUCCCCUAGACUAUCUCAAACUGGACAAAAAUACCCCCCAACCCCCACUUUAGUGGUAUGGAGCGGUGGUUUUGCAUACAUGGCGCCUGGGUUGGGCCCACUGACCGGCCAUGUCGGACAGAGGCUACUGGGUGUUGUCUAAAAUGACGCCCCCACAGCCGGUUCGACCAAAACCAGCCGCCGCUUCUAUGGUUUCUUCCGCCGCCGCCGUCAUCGUCGUCGUCGCCGUCGCCGUCACUGCUUCUCGUUUCUUCCGCCGCUGCCAAGUUGCUGCUCCUCCGGCUCGCCUCUACGCGCCAUGGUAGCUAGGGCUCAUCGCGGGCUUCUGCACUGAGGCGAGGCCGCCGUCGUUUGGGUCCUCCAUCCACUAGUGCAGAAAUGGGCUAUAGUCCUGUUCGUAAGGCCCUUUUAGUGUCGGUUCUGGAACCGAUAGUAAAGGGUGGGGACUAAAGCCCCCCCUCCCUAGUCCCGGUUCAGCACGAACCGGCACUAAUGGCCCACCACAUGGCAUGAGCCCGCGCCGGGGGUUGGGAGACCUUUAGUCCCAGUUGGUAACACCAACCAGGACUAAAAGGUUUAGGGUUUUUUGGUUUUAUGAUUUAUUUUUCUUUUUAAUUUUGUGUUUUCCAUUUAAUUCUUUUUCAUUUGAAACAUAUUUUACGCUACUACAUAUUGUACACGUUAUGCUUAUAUAUAAAUAGAAUUUCUCGUAGAACCGAUCAUAUAUAUAUCAUCGAAUUUCUCGUACGACCAUUCACGCAUGCACGUAUAUAUAUACAAGAUGGUAUAUACAAUUUCUCCUAUAUUUUGCAGAUCAUUACAUGGAGGCAUUACUUCGGUAGCGGGUAAUGAAAUUCUCCUUUGGAAUCGAUGACCUGGUCGAGCAAAAAUCCCGCUAUUUCCUCUUGAAUCGCUCUUACGCGAUUCGUUGGUAGGAGUUUAUCCCGCAUGGCCUUCAUCUUUAAAGAAGGAGAUCAAUAUGCAUGUAUUAGUUGUGUGUGUAUAUAUUAGAUAAUGAUGAAAAAAUUGUGAAUAGUGUUCUGGCAAACGUACCCAUUGCUCUCUAUCACUUCUGCUCCUUUCGUUAGUCAUCAUGCGAAUGUUUUCGCAAACGCGGUAUACACAUAAAUCAAUCUCCGGCGUCUGCUUCAGGGUCUUUAAUUGAAUAGAAUUCAAUCAAAUGAUAAUUAAUCAAGCAUGCUAAUGGUAUGUAUUGAAAUUAGAAUUAAAGAGAUGGUAGCUAGCUAGCUAGUACUAGGGCUGCAAACGAGUCGAGCUCGAGCGAGUUGGAGUUGGCUCAGCUCAACUCAUAUGAAAAUUCAAGCGAGCUCAAACUAAGUGAAGCUCAUGAUCGAGCUGUAGAACAUGACUCGUGCUUAGUUCGUAACGAUCUCGAGUCGAUCUCGAGCUAGUUUCGAGCUAAAUGAGGUGGUAAAAAUUAUAAAUCUAUGGAUGAAAAACAAAAAAAAUAAGGUGAAUAUGCUGGAACCUUUGGCAAAAAUAUAGGAUAUUUAACACAUAAUUGACCACGUGCCAUAAUUAGGUCUAAAUCUUCUCUGCACUUAAUUAAGUUUCCAUGUUCGUUGGUAAAUAAAAUGGAGAAAAAUUAUGAACAACAUAUAUGGUAAUAAAUUAUCUUAUUUUCAUUUAAUAUAUGGCAUUGUUCAUUUAACAUAAUGAUAUUCUGUCGAGUUAUCGAGCUAAAAUCGAGCAAGCCAACAUUGGCUCAAGAUCGGCUCGUUUCUCGGUCAAGCUACAUAAAGUGUUCAAACUCGGUUUGUUUCUUUUCGAGUCGAUCUCGAGUCGAGUCAAAAGACGAGUCGAUCUCGAGCAGCUCACGAGUCUCGAGCUUUUCUUGCAGCCCUAGCUAGUACUGCUUAAUUAAUUACCUUGGGUUGCUUCCAUCUCAGCUUUUGUUUCCAUGCACCAUCAAUCUGUUUGAACUUUUCCCAAGCCCUGUCCGCCGGAAAGAAAAUGAAUAAAGGAAUUAUUAAUUAGUUGAUAUCAGGAAAUGACGAACUUAAAGAGGCUGACAUAUAGUUCGAUAAUGAUUGAAAUUACCUGUCGACCAUCCCCUUCACAAUUUCGUACUCAGUAGCUUCUUUAAGUAGUGAGUUCAGUACUUCAACUUUUUCCUCGUCAACUUGAAUAAUUAACAAGAUCCAGUAAAAACUACAUACUCACAAGUUUGCAUGUAUAAAUUAAGCAGACUCAUCAACAAUCCUAAUUAAACCCUUCACGCUCGAACAAAAAACUAGUAGCAAAUGGGCAACAAAAACAAGUGGGCACUACAACGAUACGUUCCAACGUGAAAAUAGCAUUUUGUUCGUACGAAGGAUUUUUUUAAGCUCGAAAGUAUAGGUUAACUUCAUAUCUCAAGACAAGUUGUAUUCCCAAUAUAGUGUGCAGACCAGUCAAACAAGCCUCUGGUCAAGCAAACACAAAUUGCCCACUGUUAACUUGUACUACUAUAUACAGGAAGGAAACUUUUCACUGUGAUAUAACUGAAUCAAGGACAAUAUUAUAAGAAAUAUAACNNNNNNNNNNNNNNNNNNNNNNNNNNNNNNNNNNNNNNNNNNNNNNNNNNNNNNNNNNNNNNNNNNNNNNNNNNNNNNNNNNNNNNNNNNNNNNNNNNNNNNNNNNNNNNNNNNNNNNNNNNNNNNNNNNNNNNNNNNNNNNNNNNNNNNNNNNNNNNNNNNNNNNNNNNNNNNNNNNNNNNNNNNNNNNNNNNNNNNNNNNNNNNNNNNNNNNNNNNNNNNNNNNNNNNNNNNNNNNNNNNNNNNNNNNNNNNNNNNNNNNNNNNNNNNNNNNNNNNNNNNNNNNNNNNNNNNNNNNNNNNNNNNNNNNNNNNNNNNNNNNNNNNNNNNNNNNNNNNNNNGGUGAAAAAUCGGCCCGAGUCACGCCCACAGGUCCUUGUUUCUCGCCAGUUUGGGCCGAAUAACAGCUGGCGAACCAAGCCCCCGGGGGAGCGCCUGGGGGCGCCGGCCCAAGUGAAAAGGAGUGUGGGUCUGCUCUGUCAGCGACAGACAGGCCUUUUCCCGCCGUCCCGCAGUUUUCCCUUCAUUUUCUCAUUGUUUCCCCCCUUCCGCCCCUCUGCUCCCGCCAUUCUCCUCCCGCUCGCGGCCGAAAAAGUAUUCGGCCCCUCGCGCCAUGGCCGCUGCCGAUUCCACCCAGCCAAAGCAGAGGAAGCCAAAGACGCCGAUGGCAAAACCGUCGGGCAUGUCGAACGCCGAGUGGAGGGCGGAGGUUCAGCGCCGGGAGGUUGUCACCACCGACCGGCGAAACAUGCUCAAUGCCAAGAUGGCCCGGGACACGGCCGUGUCGGCGGCGGCGGCGGAGCAGGUAGAGGUGUCUCGCACGGGGAUGGUGAAUCCGCUCGGCGGCCACCGCCCGCAAGCUGCGUGGAGCUAGCAAAGCGUCGCUUCGCCGGCCAAGUUCUUGCUGCUGCCGCCGCCCUGGGGUUGUGUCCCCUCGCCUGGCUACUCCGACGGCGACGCGCAUGGUGGAUUCAACGCCAACAUCACCUUCCCACAUGGCCAGCGUGCCUCACCCUUCGGUCUAAACCCCGACUAGCUCACUCCCUCGCUCGCGUUCGCCGGCCUCCAGUACCCCCAGUACACCUACUCGCCGCCGGCGUACACAACCUCACCGACGCCGCCUCUAGGCACCCUGCCCUUCUCACAAGCCUCGACGCAUUUUAGUAAACCGACCCGAUGGACGCCGACAUGGAAGAGAUCAUCAUGAGAGGCUUGGUCGCCGCCGCCUCCUACCUCGAGUUCCACGCGCAAGAUGACACAAUGGACACCAUUGGCGACAUGGACGCUGAGCUCAAUGAUGCCGAGGAGGAGGAGGAGGAGGUGGAUCCGGCGCCGACGAUGGAAGGGAAAAGGAAGAAGCAGGAGGCAAGGCCAGGACGGGGGAGCAGUGGGUCAAGUGAACGUCCAAAGAAGACGAGUGCCUCGUCGAAGCAUGGAAGACCGUCAGCAUCGACCUGGUCACCGGUGUGAACCAGAACGCUGAUACGUACUGGACGCGUAUCAAGUCGGUGUUCGAUGAGCGCAAGCUUGUCGAUCCCUACUUCGCCAUCAACCACAUGCAGCGCGGCGCAAAGGCCAUGUCGAACCAUUGGGCGAUCAUCCAGACGACCUGCAACAAAUGGCAUGGGAUCGUCGAGGAGAUCGCGGCUCGCCCGGAAAGCGGCGCCAACGUCGAGGGUCAAGUACGUGCAGCCGCCGACUCUCGCUUCUUUUUGCCAUGUACGUUGCCGACACUUGUUCUUCGGCUGCGCAGAUGAUUCGGAUGUUCACCAUGUAUCGCCAUGAUAGCAGCGACCAAGAGUUCAAGUUCCUCCACGUGUUCUUCUGGAUCGAGAAGUGUGAGAAGUGGAGGGAUGUCCGGCGCGCCCUCGCCAAGGCCAAGGAGAUGUACAAGCCGGACGCGCCCACCCCGGGGGUGGGGGAUGGGCACCCUGACGGCAACAAAAGAGCCAAGACGGCGAAGGACGCUGCGCCGGCUACCGAGCGGCUACAAUCGUCGAUUGAGCAGAGAACAACGCCGCCAAGAGGGAGCAGAAAUCCGACGCGCGGUGGUCGGCGUUGAUGAUGAAGCAGGACGUGAAGCUCAACCUACUCCGAACCAACGUCGCCGCGAAGAAGAGGAACACCGACCUGGCGUUCUUGGAUGGGGGCGGACAUGCCAACGUUGAACGAGCAGGUCAAGGCCUAGUACUUGGCGGAGCGCGGCCUCAUCUUGAACCAGAUGCCUUUGACGACCGCGCCUACGCUCACGCCAACCCCAACGCCGCCGCCCAGCCCGAGUGAUGAUGCCACGACGACGCCCAGCAUAGAAGCCACGCCGACGCCGACCAGCCCGAGCAUAGAAGCCACGCCGACCACGCCGGCGUCGGCCAGUCCCACGCCGAAGGAGCCCAUUGUUUGAUGAAUUCCUUUGUCUACGCGUCCUUCCUUUUGAACGCCGAACUGUGGCAUGGUGAUUGCCGAACUUUAUGGCAGAUCGCCGUUGAUUGCCGAACUUGUGGUGUUUCUUUGGCAAUGGGAAAAGACAAGUUUGAAUCUAUGUGCCUUGGGGCCGAAACCUGGGGACUGAACUUUCGAGUAUGUUUGAUCACCAAACUGUGGCAUGGUGAUCGCCGAACUUUGUGGCAGAUCACCGUUUGAUUGCCGAACUUGUCUUGUUUCUUUGGCAGCGGAAAAAGACAAGUUUGAAUUUAUGUGCCUUGGGGCCGAAACCUGGGGGCGCGACUGAAAACUGAAUCGCCCCCGAGGCGAAAAAACCACCGGCGCAUGGGCCAAAACGCCAUCCCCGGGUGCGCUCGGGGAACGAAUGAGUGGAGAUGCUCUAAGCAAACAUAUGCUUCAACAUACAGAUAUUGAAGAACCGCUCCAUUAUAGAUCAGCAUUCUGAAGAAAAGAGCAAGUUUUAUAUAUGUUUGUAGGCCCAAUCUUUAGUUUCGUAAUCAAGGAUGGGAUGGUGAAAAUAGAACCUAUCUUUACAUAGAAAAUGCUUAUGAUAUACGGUGCCAUCUAAGUUCAGUUCAGAUUGUCCAUAAAAAAAGUUCGGUUCAGAGUGACAACGACGCAGCUCCCAGGUGAAAAAAGGAGCAGCAGAACACAUGAUGAGCCGAGCACGUCACUCAAACGAAUCGGUGUAUUUACAGUUGGACGGAACACGGCCAGGUUUCAGUUCAGUCGUACAGCUGAUAUAUACAAGGAGGAGAUCACAAUCGGAGGUCGGAUACAAAUGAAUGAUACAAGUAAAACACACAGGAAGCUACACUCAGCAGCUAGAUCAGACAGACACUAAGGAUCAGCCAGUCUCGUUAUUCACUCUGAGCUGACGCAUGAUCUAACUGUUGAAAGUAACCUACGAUGAUCGCAUCGUGCCAGGGUUUGACAACAGUGCUUCCCACAAUGGAGGUACAGGGAAGUCCGUAUUAUCAUACAAUGUGUACAGGAUCUCAUGACUAUUCACAGGAACUUGGACACCACGCGGCAGGAUGUCCAGAAGGCCGCUGUUGCUGCUUUUAGAAUCGCCGGAUUCUGGUAGAUAC